This 45569-nucleotide long non-coding RNA is filed under the name Daucus carota (carrot). RNAcentral describes it as "long non-coding RNA (DCAR_LNC000685)". Lineage: Eukaryota; Viridiplantae; Streptophyta; Magnoliopsida; Apiales; Apiaceae. The record is from RNAcentral.
UAUUUUUCGGCAUGAUUUUGUGUAAACUAAUAAUGAUAUAACUAUCAAAAAUAGAGGGAACAAUGUGAACUUUAAAACUAUGAAAAUUGAUAUUGGAGGUAAUUAUAAAAAAUGCAAGGGCAGGCAAUUGAUGUCAAAAUCUAGGUAAUAACUAGUUACUAUAGAUGAGUAUUCACUAUUGUGUUGACGUUUUAUGUCAUUUUUUUAAAAAUAUAUUGUCAAGAUGUCAUACUUAUAAUUUUGGCACAUUUUAAAGUGAUCAACCACACACUAUAAAUAUGUGUAUCGUGUAUGUGUGUACACACACACGAACCUUCUUUAUAAUUUGUGUUGUGUGUGUGUAGGGGGACACACAUACAAAAACCUGCAUGCAUUUUGUGGUAAUGAAUUAAGAUUCUUUUUGGGGAAGAAAAAUCAUUGGUUAGUACGAGAAAAUCUUAAUAUUAUCCUUUUAGUGGUCUCGUAAGCUUAGCAUGUGUCGAAAAUAUUUGAAAUAUAUAUAAUGUGAUAUUUCAGUGGGUGCGUCUUUGAAUGCCUUGAAUCCUCCAUAACCAUAAUAACUAUUGACACAUGUUGAAAAUGUAUUACACUAUUAGGAUUGGUCAUCACUAUUAUGAUAAUUUUUCUAAACAUUAAACAACUGCACAUCAUCUGAUUCAUCCACGCCAACGUACCUAAUAAUAUUAAUCUCAUAAAUUCAAUAAUAACAAAAAGUGCCUAUACAUAUUUACACAAACGGGUCAAGAAUAGCUUAAACAUAACGGGGGCAGAGUAUUCGAGUGAGUUGAGAUGGACUGACCCAGUUGUGAGUCGAAAAGGGAGCGGUCCUUGAAAACCGGGGAGAUACUUGAUGAGUGGUGAAUGGAAAUCUGCACUUGCUUGCUGGACAAGGUUUUGUAGUAUUCCAAAAACUACCACAACAAGAAGCUCCGGUUUAAAGUGUGGCUUCUUCUCCAUAUUAUGAGUUUGGUGGUGGUGCUUUUGCAAUUCUGCGUUCAUCACACGCACAUCAUUUCUAAGACUAUUUAACUCCAAUAAUUAUGUUUUGUUUCUGCAAAGCCAAAAAGCAUGUGCCAAUAGUAGAAUAGAUGUCAUUGUCUUUGCUGCCUAGCUAACCAACACGGGUCAAACAAGAUGGCGGGGUCAGUUUUUCUAUCCACAAAUUUAUUAUCACUAUCUCGUCCAAGAUAUCGUAACACUUUCAAAACAUGGCUAUUUUUAGCGUUUUCGAGAAAAGGAAGGAGGACUUCUGAAAAAUAAAGAUUAAAAAUUUUAAUUUUGGAGUAAUUUGUUUUCCGAUUUAAAAUUUGUAAUCACAUUCUUAACAUUCAUCUUUUAAUAUAUUUUAAUUGAAAUUUGAAUUUGAUCCCGGUCAAAUAUUUGUACAUUGGAUAAAAAUUACAGAAUUUAGUUUGUUAGAGUAUUAAAAUAUAAACAAAGGGAAACUUAAAGUCGAUUUAAAACACUUACUUAAUAUCGUAUGUGUUUUGUGUACGAUUUUAAUGACAUUAAGUCGUAUAUAUUGUAUAUGACAUUUGAUUACAUUUUCGUAACAAUAGAACUCAUCUUUCUGUAUUAAAAAUUUCGAUUUAUAUUGCACAAUAUCGAUCAAACUAAACUAAUGCUUUUUUGGCCUUGAAGAAGUACGGGCCCUACUCCACCUCGCAUCCGAAAAAUUGCAGGGCUUGUCGCUUGAUGCUUUUGUGAAAGAAAAGUAGUAGUAUAUUUCAUGAUCACAUAAAAAAUUAUUCAUUUUCGAACAACCUUCUCGACAACGGGGAUAAAUUUUGAUACGGAGAAAUUUUGGUGACAAAACUUUCAAGCUUCUGCAGGAGCACAGAAAUCCUUGCAGAUGUGCUUUGUGCUUUCGCAUUGGCAGCUUUAUCUUCUGAUGAAGACAUGCAAAAAGAUGCAAGUUCAAAUCGUCAUAUAUUGUAUAUCUUUGGUUGAGCACAAGCCUUCUCCUUUUCUGGAUUUACUAUGUUCACUCACAAUGCUUUGUGUUGGACUGUUAGUCACAGACACUGAGGUACGGGGGCGGAUCUAGACCCAAAAUCUUAGGGGGCACCAAAUAAAUUUUCAGAAAAAAUCUAUAUAUUUUCAAAUUUUCAAUUUUUUUUUUGUGAUGGUGUAUUACCAAAACUCAAAUACUCAUAAAGGAACUCACCACUAAUCUACAAUAAUAUUAUAAAAGAGGCACAACUUGUAAAUUACGAUUAUUUGGAUUAAAGCAGUUUAAUAUCUAUGUUUCUAUGUCAUUUUUUUAAUUAAAUAUAAAUAUUCAAGUUGAGGAGAGCACCCAUACCCACCACUUAUCCAUCUUAGACCCAAGGACGAAGCUCGACAUCAAUCUUCUUUUUGCAACUCAAAAUAAUAUUAAAAUAUAGUUGAUAUCCGAAUAAAAAUAUAAAGUAAUAUACAUAUAAAUCAAAUACCCCAUGUUCUUUUAAAUCCCAAAAUUCAUGUAUUAAAAUAUUAGUAUUAUUAAAUGUAUUGAACCAACUCCUAUAUAUAAUAAAGUUAACGGUUGAAGAGGGGCCAAAAAUUGAAAUUCUAUAACUUUUAACAAAAAAAACACAUAUAAAAUAGAAAAUGUGUUGAUAUUAAGGGGAGCUCACCCCUUUGGCCCAUAAUAUACUAUGUCACUGCUUAGACCCCAUUUUGAGUGGAUAUAUUACGCACAAUCUUAACUAAAAAAUUUAAAUAUAAAUUAAAAAAUUAAAGUAAAAAAAAAGUUCAUACCUUUACGGUAGCAAAAGUCAUUUUGUUAGAGUACGUCCUUGUGUAACUAUACAUCAAAAGAAUUAAUAAACAUUAUUAAAGUACUAGAUUUAAAAUCAACUUGGGAAUCAAAUAAACUAGUGAAGGAUUAACAAAAUCUCACCCGGCAUAUUGGCCUUCGACAAUCCAUGGUCGCCAAUCAUCAAUGAUGGAAUAGUUUAGACCUCUUAUCCAAGCUUGAGUUGAUUGAAAUGGCACCACCAUGUCAUGGUCUCCACUAUCAAUCACCAUUAAAUUUUCUCAAUAUAUAUUACUUCGUAGAUGUGAAAAAUAAUCCAUCUUAAAAUUAUUUUUAAUUAAAAUUUGUUGCAAAAUGCUAUAAACUGACCUGUAUAUGAGAGAUCUAUAACCUUUUUUGCUGAGAUUUGCAUGAUAUGAUCUCGUAUCUAAGAUCACCUUUUCAAAUAACAACUCUUUUUUGCAUCUUACCCAUGUUCCUAUGGACCCCUGUAUAUUAAAGUAUGUUGACAUUCUUAAGUUGUAUUUUGAUAAAAAUCAGUGGAGAAUGAAGACAUACCUUUCUGAUAUGCAACGCUUUCUGCACAUUCUCAUCAUUACUCCAGUAACUAGAAAGCGGAUAUCCAUCAUUCUGCAGUCAUUUUAUUUUCAAAAGUCAUUUAUGCCUCCGUGUGCUACUGCUAUAUAUACAUAAAUCACAACCCAAAUUCAUAUAUGCUUCAUGUAGAUUUUAAUAUUUUAGUAAUAAUAAUCUUGAAAUUCAAAGCUUAUUAUUAUACACAUAUAUUUAUUUUUUUGAUAUAUGUACCACUAUUGAGGCUGCAAUUGCUUUAAAAUUGAUAAUGUAUAUAGAUGAUAAAGGAAAAUUUUGGAGCAUGUAGAUAUAUAAUCUUGAAAUUCUUUACCAGCUUAUUAGGAGAAUAAUUUUUUUUUCAACCACUUAGAGAAAGAACGUUUUUCUAACAAUUGUUUCAGCGCCAAGUAACCUUUUAUUCACUCGUUCUUUAUUGCCAAUUCGUAAAUGAAAAGCAGCUAUAGUAAAGCUUAUACUUAUAUUUUGAUAUUAAAAAUACAUAUAGAAGGAGGACAUACACGACAUUCAAAUGCAGAUAGUGGUAAUUUAGGAUUAUUAUGGCCUCCAAAUUUAUCCAUGACCUCUGUUUUUUCAUAAGAUAAUGACCUGCGCAGCGGUUCAACACAAUUUUUCUCCAAUAUUUGUGGUUUAAAGAGUCCACUCCUACACUGAAGAGAUAUAUAUGUCAAAUUACUAAGCGACAAAUAUAAUGUAACGGUACGAUGACUUAAAAAAUUGAAAUGUAAUAAGUAACCUCUUCAUAAGCCGCUUUAUUUUGUGAACACUCUGCAUUAUCAAUAUCUGAUUUUUGAUAAUCAAGCCCACAAUUUCUUCUCAAUGACUAUAAUCAAGAAAGUUAUAAGUGGAUUUGAUAAAUCAAAAUCAUUAAAAAAUAAAUACUUCUAAAAACAAACAAACCUCAUAUAGUUCAUCUGAAAUAAUUCCCAUUCCAUGAGCAAAUGUGUAGCGAAAGUUUAUCUCACUAGGAAAUGCCGUAGGAUUUCCAAGUAAGUAACCCUGAAUUGCACAAUAAAUUGUUAAAUUAUUUUUACAUGUCAUGUAUGAUAGUAAUCCACAUUAAAAUCAAAUUUUAAGCAUAAUUAUGAUUAAUUUUAAAAUCAUUUAGUAGAUUUUAAAGUAAAAUGAAAUGGUUCUCGAGACUCUAUAUAAUAUGGUCCCUCUCUCUCUCUAUAUAUAUAUAUAUACACACACACACACACAUGUGUGUGUGUGUGUGAGAGAGAGAGAGACAAGCACAUAUAACAAUCAACGCUACUAAAUUUUAGUACAUAGCGCAUAACAAUAUAUAUAUAACUAGAACAUAUAAUAGUACAACAUAUAAUGCAUAAUUAUAUACAGUACUACACACUUAUUUACCGAACAUAUAUAUACGACAAAAUAUACAUAUGAUUUUGAAAUAUAGGACUUGUAAAAAAUAUUAUUGAACACUGAAAAACAAAAUAAAUAAUAAUGAUAGAAUCCAUAAAAUGAUUUUUGACAGAAAAGAAAAGAAUCCAUAAAAUUAAUGAUAGAAAAAUAUAUAACAGGAUUAAAACACAAACAAUACAUUUACAGAACAUAUUCAAGGAAACAAAAUAAAAAAUGAUGAAGAGUUUUUUGUAAAAACAUUUCCGCAACUCGAGAGGCAUUGAAAUAUUUUAUAACACACAUAAAUUUAGAAAAAUAUUUAUAAAUUUUUAAUGAUUUUUUAUGUAAAUAUCAGGAACCAAAUUUAGUCACUUUUAUAACGAGUGACUAAUUCCAUACAUUUAGAUCUAGAGAUAACUUUGAUAGAUAUCGGGAUUUAUAUCAAAAUAGCUAUUCGUUGCACUCAAAUAUCUCACUUAACUCAUCAUUUUCUAUGAAACCUCAUAUAAAUCACUUAAAUCACUACACACACACACAUAUACAUAUAUAUUACUCUCCUAAUUUUAUUUUAUUUUAAAGUAAGUGAAAAAAUUGAUACUUUAUGCUUUAUAUUAAUUAUUAAUUUUAUAUAAUACAUGUACUAUAUUAGCACGACUUUCGUAUUAUUAUAUUUUAUAGAGUAAUUGACACUUUGCACCCCUCAAGUUUAGGCGUUUUUUCGAUUUGGUAUCAAACAAUUGUUUUGGCAAUAUGCACCGUAAAAUUUAAAAAGCACUUCGAUUUGCACCCAUUUGACCAUAUUCCGUCAAAUUGACUGUAAGUUAGUUUGUUAUAUAAUCCCUCAUACCAAAAACCCACCAAGUAUCUAUUAUAUAUUCUGAUUAGCCCUCAUGCCAAAAACCGAUAUAUAAUAGAUGGACAACCAUGACAUUUCACACUUGUGAGGGUCAAAAGGACAUUAAACAUUAAUGGUUAAAAUGAACAUCUAAUGUAUUUUAAGAUAUUCUUUAGGGGUUAAAGAACAUCUAAGGUGUUCUUUAAGGGUUAGAAAGAACGAACAAAUUUUAUCUUAAAUAGCGCAAUGAAUGGUUAUUGUAAUAUAAACCCCAGUAAAUAUCCUUGAAAAAACUCGGACCUGAAACAAAGUAAGAUUACUCAUCACAUAUUUACAAACCUUCAGAUUAAUGGGUUGCUCAGGACCUAUUUUAGCCUCAUUUACUGCAUGAUAAUAAACAUAUAUAAUAAGUAGCUGGCUAAAAUCUUUCAAAAAACCAAUAAUAUUUCUUAUUCUUAAACUCUAUAAAACACUCUUACCAUGUGAAAUCAUCUGUGUAAUAACCGGAACAAAGAUUCCAGCGUAAGAGUCUCCACCAACAUAAAACGGAUUCGCAAGGAAUUGAGGAUGACUCAUAAACCACUGCAAAACACUUUUAUUAAAGCUGGUCCCUGAGAAUAUUUAGUUGAAAUUAGACAGAAGCUGCACCUUUUUUAAGAAUUGUAGAGCCUGAGCACAUGCUUGAGUGUCAUUAGAUUGAGAAGCAAUAGAAGUCUUGGCGUAGGAAAAACCGGUACCAACAGGCAAGUCCAAAAAUAGUAUAUUUGCUACCUAUAAGUCAUACAAUGAUACAAAAUUUCAAACCCGCAAUAGUAUUGAUAACUUAACAUUUUUAGGCAAAUCUAGAAUUAUAUGUAAGUUAUAAACUGACUUAAAGUCGGAAAUGAGUAGGAUAUACCUUUUUAAGCAUUUUUUAUUAUUUUUCGUGAAUUUUUAAUAAAAUUAAUUUAUCGCUCAAAUAAAUAACCUAUCAAAUUUAUUUGUAUUAUAAUAUUUUAAAUAAUUCAUAAAUUAUCUACAAUAUAAAUUCACUCAAACAGAUAAUUUAAAUCGCUAACUUAUCAUAUUAAUUAUAUGUUACGAGUCAUUAAGCCAAAACCCAAACGGGUUCCAGGAGUGGUGAGAUUUACAUCACGUACCUACUAUCUUGGAUAUUAUAUCAAUACAUUAAAAGUGAACAAACUUUAAAAUUAGGAUUGUGUGAUUAAUCUACAUUGACAGUGAAAUACAAUUUCUGAUUUUCUUCGUUCUCGAUUUGUCUAAUGAUAAUAACAUUACAAAAAACAUGUUUUAUCGACUUAAUAUAAAUUCAAUUGAGGAUUUAUUUUUGACCUGCUUAAAAUCGACCAAAAAUAUUCCGGUCGAAAAUAAUUAUAUUCGACUCUUAACGGUCAAAAAAAUCUAUUUUGGCCGGAUCUUCGCGGUCGAAAAUAGCCGCAUUUCAUGUAGUACUUCUUUAUUAUUUAAAUAACCCACAACCUAACGCAUAGCAGAUCAACACUUGACUAUCACACAAAACACGACAUUCAACAUUUUUAUUACAAAAUAUCACUCUUAACUAUACACGUAACAGGGGAUAUGAAAAUUUCUCAAAUUUUCAACUAGAGUCAUCAGUCAUAACAUCCGUUACAUUUGCAUCCAGAAAACGCAAGAUUGAUGGAUAUGGUUUAAAAUAAGUUAAAAGUUACUCAUCAAAAUAAUAAAUCUUAUCAUCAUAUAUAAUGUAGCCUUUAGAGUAUAAAUUCAUGAUAAUACUAGAAUAAUACUAGAAUACAACAAGUACUAUAUCAAGGAAAUAGUUACAUACAAUUAAUAUACGCAUCUCACUCUCUAACAAUAAAUCUACAAUUUUAACAAUAAAUCUAUAAUUGAAGAAUAUAUUUUUUUUUUUUUGAAAUAAUUGAAGAAUAUAUUUAUAAGCAGACAUAUUUACCUUUGUCCAUGUGUGGGGAUUUAAAAUUAAGGUUGGCAAAGUGCCGUUAUACUCCACUUGCUCAAAAUAUACUGGACCUGCAUAUACACAAAUUAUCAGGGUUAAAAGAAAAAUUACUAAUAAAAUUCAGAAGCUGAAAUUAAAAAAAUCCCGUUAAUGAAAAAUAAAAUCACAAAAUAGUUGAAUGGGACAAUCUAAGCAAAUCAAAACAUAAUUUGUUUCAGAGACCUUCAAAACCAGCCAACUCAACAGUUUUGUCAUGGCAAAGGUGGGUGCCACAGAGUAAAUAAAUGUGAUAAAGGUGAAAUAAUUUGGGAGAAAAAAUAACUAAAAUCGAGAACGCCAUCAAUACUUUGAUGCAUAACCCAUACUCUUUCCAUAAACUCCAUGGGUGAUAAGGUUAUCAUAAGUGACUUGGAAUAGAAAGCAGAUCAUUGCUUUUGUAAAGCUUUCUUCAUGGGGGGCACUUCUAUAAUUUUGUAAAAUUUAGAAUGGUGAAAAAAUGCAAAAAACAAUUUUAGGGGGGGCACGUGUCCCCCGUGCCUCUUCCUAGAUCCGCCCCUGCUGAGGUAUGGUAGAAUAUAUAAGAGAAUACAGCAAAGGAGCUCAUCUGCACCAAAAUUCGCCACGUUAGGGAGGACUUACAGAUUACACUGUGUACAUUGUGGUUUUCUUGAUCCAAAAUAUAGAAGUGUUUGCUCAGNAUUUUUUUUUUUUUGAAAUAAUUGAAGAAUAUAUUUAUAAGCAGACAUAUUUACCUUUGUCCAUGUGUGGGGAUUUAAAAUUAAGGUUGGCAAAGUGCCGUUAUACUCCACUUGCUCAAAAUAUACUGGACCUGCAUAUACACAAAUUAUCAGGGUUAAAAGAAAAAUUACUAAUAAAAUUCAGAAGCUGAAAUUAAAAAAAUCCCGUUAAUGAAAAAUAAAAUCACAAAAUAGUUGAAUGGGACAAUCUAAGCAAAUCAAAACAUAAUUUGUUUCAGAGACCUUCAAAACCAGCCAACUCAACAGUUUUGUCAUGGCAAAGGUGGGUGCCACAGAGUAAAUAAAUGUGAUAAAGGUGAAAUAAUUUGGGAGAAAAAAUAACUAAAAUCGAGAACGCCAUCAAUACUUUGAUGCAUAACCCAUACUCUUUCCAUAAACUCCAUGGGUGAUAAGGUUAUCAUAAGUGACUUGGAAUAGAAAGCAGAUCAUUGCUUUUGUAAAGCUUUCUUCAUAGUCUUUCUAACAAAAAACGAGUACCCAUUUCUUUAUUUUGGGACUGUACUUGACACGUAUUUUAAUAUUAUUAUUUUUUUAAAAAAGAAAAAGAAUUAUGUUAAAAUAUAUAUAGAAAAAUAAAAAAUUUAAAAAUAAGUUGUGCAACUAUAUCACUGUACUUAUCAUAUACACCUUGAAAUGUUCAAAAAACCGCAAAGAGGGACGGAGGAGUAAAUUAUAGGAGUAUAAGAGAAACGAAGCAAUCAAAAGAAUGCUGACUCAAGUGUCUUGCAUACCCCUAUGCCUUGGCUUUUAUGCUCAAGUCUUGAGAAAUUAUAGGUUUUAGUGGAUGAAGGCACAACAUUUUUUCAUUAUAUCUUGGUGCAGGAAGGUACCAAAGCUCCGAUUAAAAUCAGUUGCCGAGAAUGUUUUAUUAUUUUCAAGGACUAUUGUUUCUCGGAUAAAAAAUAUUACUGCAAUAUUUUGGAUUGAAUAUACAACGAAAAGAAUCACCUAAAUAACGAAGCUUAAAACAUGUCUCCAAUUAUAGAAGUAGUGCAUGUUGAAAAUCACCUAAUAUUAGAAAGGAAAAACCAACAUUUGAACGCUAACAAUGUAAAGACAAUUUGAGUUAUUUGUGUAUAAAGCGGAGAACAAACUAAGUAAACUGGUAUGCUGCAGGCUGCAUGUUUUUCAUAGUAGAAGAGAAAACUGGAUACUUCUCAUCUUAUUAGAAAAAGCAAGAUUACAUGCUUAAAUAAUAAUAAACCCACCAAACGUGGUGCCAACAAACUAGGAAGUGCUAACUAUCUCCUAAACAACUUCAAACUUGAUAACUCACUUUAGUGCUUCCUAAUAUCUUUCCGCAUCCUAUGCUACCAACCUACAUUAUCUAGUAACCUGGUAGUGCAUACAACCAAAUCCUACGACAAAUAAAACACUACAACUCAUUUAUUCAAUACUAAAUAAAUAAAUAAAAUAUUCAAAUAACAAAUUUAAGAUUAAAUUCCAACAGUGCAUACCGAAUUCAUAAGCGAAGGCGGUGAUAGUAGAACAACCAGGACCUCCUGUCAUCCAAAGUAUUAGAGGAUCAUCUCUCGGAUUUGUCUGAGACUCGACAAAAUAAUAAAACAACUGCACAUCAUCUGAUUCAUCCACGCCAACGUACCUAAUAAUAUUAAUCUCAUAAAUUCAAUAAUAACAAAAAGUGCCUAUACAUAUUUACACAAACGGGUCAAGAAUAGCUUAAACAUAACGGGGGCAGAGUAUUCGAGUGAGUUGAGAUGGACUGACCCAGUUGUGAGUCGAAAAGGGAGCGGUCCUUGAAAACCGGGGAGAUACUUGAUGAGUGGUGAAUGGAAAUCUGCACUUGCUUGCUGGACAAGGUUUUGUAGUAUUCCAAAAACUACCACAACAAGAAGCUCCGGUUUAAAGUGUGGCUUCUUCUCCAUAUUAUGAGUUUGGUGGUGGUGCUUUUGCAAUUCUGCGUUCAUCACACGCACAUCAUUUCUAAGACUAUUUAACUCCAAUAAUUAUGUUUUGUUUCUGCAAAGCCAAAAAGCAUGUGCCAAUAGUAGAAUAGAUGUCAUUGUCUUUGCUGCCUAGCUAACCAACACGGGUCAAACAAGAUGGCGGGGUCAGUUUUUCUAUCCACAAAUUUAUUAUCACUAUCUCGUCCAAGAUAUCGUAACACUUUCAAAACAUGGCUAUUUUUAGCGUUUUCGAGAAAAGGAAGGAGGACUUCUGAAAAAUAAAGAUUAAAAAUUUUAAUUUUGGAGUAAUUUGUUUUCCGAUUUAAAAUUUGUAAUCACAUUCUUAACAUUCAUCUUUUAAUAUAUUUUAAUUGAAAUUUGAAUUUGAUCCCGGUCAAAUAUUUGUACAUUGGAUAAAAAUUACAGAAUUUAGUUUGUUAGAGUAUUAAAAUAUAAACAAAGGGAAACUUAAAGUCGAUUUAAAACACUUACUUAAUAUCGUAUGUGUUUUGUGUACGAUUUUAAUGACAUUAAGUCGUAUAUAUUGUAUAUGACAUUUGAUUACAUUUUCGUAACAAUAGAACUCAUCUUUCUGUAUUAAAAAUUUCGAUUUAUAUUGCACAAUAUCGAUCAAACUAAACUAAUGCUUUUUUGGCCUUGAAGAAGUACGGGCCCUACUCCACCUCGCAUCCGAAAAAUUGCAGGGCUUGUCGCUUGAUGCUUUUGUGAAAGAAAAGUAGUAGUAUAUUUCAUGAUCACAUAAAAAAUUAUUCAUUUUCGAACAACCUUCUCGACAACGGGGAUAAAUUUUGAUACGGAGAAAUUUUGGUGACAAAACUUUCAAGCUUCUGCAGGAGCACAGAAAUCCUUGCAGAUGUGCUUUGUGCUUUCGCAUUGGCAGCUUUAUCUUCUGAUGAAGACAUGCAAAAAGAUGCAAGUUCAAAUCGUCAUAUAUUGUAUAUCUUUGGUUGAGCACAAGCCUUCUCCUUUUCUGGAUUUACUAUGUUCACUCACAAUGCUUUGUGUUGGACUGUUAGUCACAGACACUGAGGUACGGGGGCGGAUCUAGACCCAAAAUCUUAGGGGGCACCAAAUAAAUUUUCAGAAAAAAUCUAUAUAUUUUCAAAUUUUCGGGGGGGCACUUCUAUAAUUUUGUAAAAUUUAGAAUGGUGAAAAAAUGCAAAAAACAAUUUUAGGGGGGGCACGUGUCCCCCGUGCCUCUUCCUAGAUCCGCCCCUGCUGAGGUAUGGUAGAAUAUAUAAGAGAAUACAGCAAAGGAGCUCAUCUGCACCAAAAUUCGCCACGUUAGGGAGGACUUACAGAUUACACUGUGUACAUUGUGGUUUUCUUGAUCCAAAAUAUAGAAGUGUUUGCUCAGUUUUGCAGGUUCCAUCAUUUUGAGUUGCGAAAUUUUUUGUCUUUUAAUGCAUCUGUCAAAGACUAAGAUUGUGUUCACUUCGAUAGAAUGGAUUAAUGGAAUGAGGGAAGAAUGCGAUGAAAAUAUGUGAACACGUUUCGUGGAGAAAAUAUGUGAGAAUAUGUGAUCUUGUGUCUUUUAACUGAGUUUUCUUUUCAGUCAUUAAGAUUUUAUCGAUUAAAUUUCUAGGGCCAUCUCUGCAUGACCUUUAGUUGGUUGAAUUUUUCUUUGAAUAUAAUUUCCCAUCUUUUUUUUUAGAUUCCCAUAUUUUUCUUUUCCUGCAAGUCUUUUUCGGAUAUCAAGAUUUUUUUUAUCUAUUUUCAGUGGGACAUCUCUGUAUGCCCUCUGGUUCGAUGAAAUAUUUUCAUGUAUGAAAUAAACUCUUCUUUUCGGUAUUAUCGGUAUAAUUUUUUGACGAGAAAGUCUUAUGACAAAAAAAGAGUAUUGGCGAUUCUUUGUUUACAUUCAUACAAAUUCUUCAGAAUAGAUAUAUGAAUUCAUCCCUUUUGCAACCCCCUUUUAUUCACCUUGAAGUCUUUAAUUAAUGCUAAUUAAUUUGUUGAUGUUGACCACAAUUUUGUCCACAAUGUUGUGUUAAAUUUAAAAAGUAUAUUCAAUAUUAUAAAUAAAUACUCCUCAUAGUAUGCAGAAAACCCUUUACAAUAUAGACCAGAGCCUAAAUUGUCGUUAAUAUCCAAAUAUAUAAUAGCUCAUUCCCUUACAAGACUUAUCUUGUAUUCUUAGAGUGAAAUCUCUGGCUUCCUUCUCAAAUACUAUGCAACUACACGUUUUAGCUUGAAGUGAUGAUUUCUAAUCAUGAAAUGGUGUAUAUAUACAUAAUUCGUACUGAUUCUCAUCCGUGUUUACAUCUCUUCUUUUCAUUCUUGUUACUAAAAAAUCAUCUUUUCAAUGUUUUGCACUAUUAUAAAACUUGUUACUCCCUCCGUCCCUAAAUACUUUUCCUAUUUGUACUUUUCACGUUUGCCAACACACACUUUUGAUUGUUAAUAUCUUUCAUUUCGUAGUAGCAUUAAAUAUAAAAAUUUCACCGUAUUAAAAUACUUGUGAAUACGAAUCUAACAAGAUCACUCAUGACUAUAUUUAAUUUUACAGAUUAGAUGUAAAUUAGUAAUUUAUCUCAUGUUAUGAACAGUACCGACAUCACAAACAGGAAAAGAAAAAAGAAACGGAGAGAGUACUAACAAGUCAAUCUUUUUUAUGUUCUACAUUAGCUAGUUCAAACUUCAACGCAUAACAUGAUUGGAGUUAUCAUUAUGCACAAUGUCUCAUAUAUGAACAAACAUCAAUCAUCAAUCAAUCAUCAAUAUAUAUAUAUAAAGGAGGAUGUGGCCGUCUCUACAAUUGUUCGAUUCAGUCUUCUGAUUUUUCUUAAAUUUCAGAUAGAAAAUAUAAUUAUAAUUCAAAAAUUCAUGUUUAAAAAUCUUAAAGAUAAUACAAUUCUUUUUUAUUGGAUUCUAAAGGUAAUACAAUUCUUCUUAUUAUUUAAGAAUCAUAAGGAUAAUACAAUUCUUAUUGUUAAUUAUAUAUUAAUAUAUGAAUUAUUAAAAAAGUACAAUUUUUAUUUUCAAAAGUUAUAAAAUUUAUAAUUUUAUUUUAUUAUAUUUUUUUCAGAAGGAGGAUGCCGGGCGUCUAUACAAUUGUUCGAUUCAGUCUUAUAAUUUUCUUAAAUUUCGGAUAAAAAAUAUAAUUAUAAUUCAAAAAAUCAUGUUUAAGAAUUCUAAAGUUAAUACAAAUCCUUUUUAAUUGGGUUCUAAAGUAAUACAUUUUUUUUCUUAUUUAGGAAUCAUAAGGGUAAUACAAUUCUUAUUGUUAAUUAUAUAUUAAUAUAUGAAUUAUUAAAAAAGUACAAUUCUUAUUUUCAAAAGUUAUAAAAUUUAUAAUUUUAUUUUAUUAUAAAAUUCUAAGUAGUUAAGAGAUAGGAAUCCUAAAAGAAAAGAGAGAUAAUUCUAAACAAUUAAUACAAUUCUUUUUUUAUAGGUUCUAAAAGUAAUAUUGAUACAAUUCUUCUUCUUAUUUAGGAUUCAUAAGGGUAAUACAAUUCUUAUUGUUAAUUAUGUAUUGAUAUAGGAGUUAUUAAAAAAUAUAAUUUUUAUUUUCAAAAUUUAUAAAAUUUAUAAUUUUAUUUUAUUAUAUAAUUUCAAAAGGAGGAUGCGGGGCGUCUAUAGAAUUGUUUGAUUCAGUCUUACGAUAUUUUUAAAUUUCGAAUAAAAAAUAUAAUCAUAAUUCAAAAAAUUAUGUUUAAGAAUUCUAAAGUUAAUACAAUUCUUUUGUUUGUUGGGUUCUAAAGGUAAUACAAUUUUUUUUUCUUAUUUAGAAAUCAUAAGGGUAAUACAAUUCUUAUUGUUAAUUAUAUAUUAAUAUAUGAAUUAUUAAGAAAGUAAAAUUCUUAUUUUCAAAAGUUAUAAAAUUUGUAAUUUUAUUUUAUUAUAUUCAAAAGUUAUAAAAUUUGUAAUUUUAUUUUAUUAUAAAAUUCUAAGUAGUUAAAAAACAGGAAUCUUAAAAUAAAAGAGAGAUAAUUCUAAACAAUUAAUUAACGGAAAUCUUAAAAAAAUAAAAUAUAAUAGCUAAAAUCUAUGAAAUUUGAUAUAUUUAUCCGAUUAUAAUUAUAAUUUUAUCAUAAUGUAAAUGAUUAUUGAUUAGUAUUGUGUUUAAGGGGAGGGCGUCCCAAAUUAAUUUUUAUCUAAAUAAUAAUAAAUUUUCUAUUAGUAUUAUGUUUGACGGCAAAGCGUCUAAAAUAAAUUUUUUAUAUAAGUUAUAAUAUAUUUUUUUAUUAAAACGGGACCACAGCUUAAAAUAAUUUUUAUCCAAUUAUAAUCUUUAAGUUUAUCACAAUUAUAAUAAUUUUUAUUAGUACUGUGUUUGACGGUAGGGCGACUCAAACUAAUAUCUAUAUUAUAAUUUUUUGUUAUUAGUAUUGUGCUUGACAAGAGAGCGGCUCAAACUAAUUUUUAUCUAUAUUAUUAUAUUUAAUUUUAUCAUAAUUAUAGUAAUUAUUGAUUAAUAUUGUCUUUGAUGAGAGGGCGGGUCAAAUAAUUUUUUUUAUUAGUAUUGUAUUUGAUAUGAGGGCUACUUAAACAAAUUUUUACAUUAAAUUAUAAUUUUUUUAUCAAUGAUAUAUUUAAUAGGAACAUGACUCAAAAUAAUUUUUAUUCAAUUAUAAUAUUAAUUCGUAUCAAAAUUUCUAAAAAAGAUUCUUGAGUAAUAGUAUUGUGUUUCAGGGGAGGGCGGCCCAAAUUAAUCUUUAUCAUAAAUUUUUUAUUACUAUUAUGUUUGACGGGAAAACGGUUAAAUCAAUUUUUUACCUAAGUUAUAAUGUAUUUUUUUUAUUAAAACGGGACCACGACUUAAAAUAAUUUGUAUCCAAUUAUAAUCUUUAACUUUAUCAUAAUUAUAAUAAUUUUUUAUUAGUAUUGUGUUUGACGGGCGACUCAAACUAAUAUCUAUAUUAUUAUUUUUUGUUAUUAGUAUUGUGUUUGACAAGAGAGCGGCUCAAACUAAUAUUUAUCUAUAUUAUUAUAUUUACUUUUAUCAUAAUUAUAAUAAUUAUUGAUUAAUAUUAUAUUUGAUGGGAGGGCGGUUCAAACAAUUUUUUUAUUAGUAUUGUGUUUGACAAGAGGGCCUAAUAUUUUUUAUUAAUGAUAUGUUUAACGGGAACAUGACCCGAGAUAACUUUUACGCAAUUAUAAUAUUAAUUCGUAUCAAAAUUUAUAAAAAAUUCAUAAGGCCGUCGCGAAGCGCGGCUUUAUUUACUAGUUUUAUUUAAAUAAUCGCAAUCAUAGUAUAUGUUUAAAAAGCUGUUGACUUAUAGAGGUUCAUUAGAUAACCAUCUCUCGAACAUAGCAUAACAUUCUGCCGGUUUGUAUUCUGGUGCUGUAUGGCCUGCCCCCUGUGAACCAAGAAAUCGUAAAUACAUAUUACAUGAUUGAAAAAUAUUAGGAGAAAGAAAUUAUGAAACUAAAGACUACGCACAAAUAGUCUAUUGCAUCUAAUAAUAUAGUUAUGAUUCAUUUUUAUUGAAUAAAGAUAUGGUUUUACGAUUUAUUGUACUCCAUGGUGGAACAUAGUAUUUUAAUAUAGAGCAAGAUUUGUGAAUAUUUUUUACAAGUAUGAGAACAUGAAACAAUAUAAUGAUAAUGACUAUUUUCUGACAUCACUUUAUGUAACCAGAGUAAUAACAAUAUAACUAUUUAAACGAGGAAACAAAUCAAACUUCGUAGUAUAUAGCGUAAAGGACACAAAAAUGGAGAUUAGUAUUAUUUUUUUCUUUUUGAACUAAUAAGCAAAAAUACAUCUAAUCUAAGCAAACAAUCUUAAUUACUCAAAUUACUCUGAAAACUUACAUAUAGAACUAAUUAUAAAGAAUGUUGGUCAAUAUUUGAUUUCGUCAAAAUUGAAGUAUAAAUACAUGGGUGUUAACUAUAAAAUAGGUCUAGACACUUUUUGCCAAUUUAUAAAAAUACAUGCCCCUAUACAUAUGAUAAAAUUAAAAAUCAUGCUCCAAUGAGAUUCUAUGACCCCAAUAAUUUCUAGAGGGGAGAAAAUCAAACCCCUUAUUUAGCGCAAAGAAAUUAAAUCCUUGUACUGUCACUUUAUCAUUUUUUGUCUAUACUAUAAUAUGUAUCUAGGCCAACAUUCCAGAGAGGGACUCCUUAUAUGGAGUUACAUAGCGCGCCACUAUAAAUCAUCAAUUUUAUUAUAAAUUCUGUUAUAGAAUACAUAUAAAACGUGAUUCUAAUAUAGAAUACUAUAAAAUAUAUCUAUUUUAAGUAAUUUAACACUUAAAAUUUGAUUAAAAAAAGUAUAUUUUCGAAACUGAUUCUACAACAGAAUAAUUCUGGAUGAUUAUUAUUCUGUUAUAGAAUCAUGUUGAGAUAUUGCAUAAUUUUAGAUGAUCUUUGGAAUAAAAAAAUUGUAUAAUUUCGUUUUCGGUUUAAUAAUCAAAAUUUGCAAUUAUAUUUCAUAAAAAAUAUAAUAGAAUAUAUAUUAUGUAUAUAUUUAUAAUGGUGUGCUACGUAACUCCAUAUAAAAGGGUAUGCUAUGGAGUGCUACCCUAUGUAUUUACUCCAACCUCUCACCCAUAUUUAUUUUAACUAGAAUAUUUUACCUCAAAUAUUGAAUUAUAAGUAUGUGUAUCACAUAUAAUUUGCUUGCCAUUUAGCGGUAAAACUUCUUGUGUUUGGUUAGGUAAGGUCAUGGGUUGGUUUAGUACAAUGGAUAUAAAAUUAGAAAGAUAAGGAGAUGGCGUAUUGUAGUGAUCAUAUAAAUAUUAUGCAUGUUAGAUCACUUAAGCCUAAUAUGUGUUAUGAAUAUCAAUAUGUAUAAUGUGCAAAUGCUUUCAGUGUGUGGGGUUGUCAUGCCUUCUCAACAAGUAUAAAGAGUUCUGGCACAUGCCGGACAUGCGUGACACUAUUGGGACUUGGGAGUAUGUUAACAAAUAAAAAAAACUUAUUUUUCUAGAGAUGGUCGAAAAAGAUAUACACCCUCUGUCUUGACACAUUUCUAUGCUCUCAUAAAAUAUAGCUCUGUAACUUAUUUUUAAGAUUUUCUUUUUCUGAAUAAAAAUUUAACAUCCAAACUUUAAUUCAAAAAAAGAAAAUUUUAAAAACAAAUCAUACAACUAUAUUUUACAGGAGCAUUAAAGUCCGUGUCGCGUCCCCGUCCCCAAUGUAUACUAUCCAGGGGGACGGAGGGAGUAACUAUUUACAAAAGAAGUCCCCACCAAUUUACAACAAUGAUAUACAACAUGUGUAACUUUUGAAUUAUGAUCAUUUGGAUCAAGGAGGUUCAAAUAUGUGCUAUGAUCCGGGUAGAGACCAAAGAUGUGAGUGACCGAUCUGGUGGAACAACUAAAUUUUUAUUAUUUGUUCAACUAGAUUAUCUAGUUAUCUAAGUGGGGGAGAGCACUCGUGCCCAAUAUUUACCCAACCCAAACCCAACUUUUAAUGUGAAAUUUACGUAUAUUUUAACUAAAAAGAAAAUUAAAUAUAGAUUAAAUAAUUAAUGAAAACAAAUCAUUACCUUUACUGUAGCAAAAGUCAUUUUAUUCGAGUAAGUCCUUGUAUAACUGUACAUCAAAAAGUUUGAAAAACAUAGUUAAAUUGAUAAAUUGAAAAUCAUCUCAAUGAUGGUAUAAGUAGGUGAAGGAUUAACAUAUAUCUCACCCAGCAUAUUGAUCUUCGACAACCCAUGGCCGCCAAUCAUCAAUAAUGGAGUAGUUUAGAUCUCUUAUCCAAGCUUGAGUUGAUUGAAAUGGCACAACCAUGUCAUGAUCACCGCUGUUGAUCAUCGUUAAAAUUCCUCAAAAUUACUUAGUUGUAGACUUUUAAAGUAGCCACUCUUUCAAUUUAUUUUAGUAUUAAAAACGUGUCGCAAAAUAUUGUAAACUAACCUGUAUAUGAGAGAUCUAUAACCUUUUCUGCUAAGAUUUGCAUGGUAUGGUCUAGUAUCCGUGAUCACUUUUUCAAAUAAUAAUUCAUCUUUGCAUCUUAUCCAUGUUCCUAUAGACCCCUGUAUAUUAAAAUAUGUUAACAUUCUUGAGUUUUUUUCUAAUUAAAACUAGCGGAGACAUACCUUUCUUAUAUGUAACGCUUUUUGCACAUUCUCAUCAUUACUCCAGUAACUAGAAAGAGGAUAUCCAUUAUUCUGCAGUCAUUUUUUAAAAGAAGAAAAAUAUUGAUACCUUCUUAUGGUGCUACAUGUAGAUAAAAAACAGAAGUACGACUCUUUCAAUCAUGUAUUAACAUUAAAACUUGUUCGUUGUACAUUUAAUAUAAUUCAGACAUGCAUUAGCUAAUUGAUUUAUCUUUUAAUAAAAUUAGUCUUGAAAUUCAAAGUUUACUAUGAUACACAAACGUAUUUUUUUUUAUUACACUAGUACUAUUAUUAAGGUUGAAGUUGCUAUAAAGUUAAUAUUUUAAAAAUGUUAGGAGGCUGUAGAUAUGAAAUAUCAUAAUUCCAUACAAGUUAAUCAAGAGUAAAUUAAGGAGAAGAACAUACACGACAAUCGAAUGCUGAUGAUCCUAAUUUAGGACUGUCAUAGUCUCUAAUUUUAUCCACGAUAGUUGUUUCUCCAUAAGAUAAUGACCUGCGCAGCGGCUCCACACAAUUUUUCUCCAAUAUUUGUGGAGUAAAGAGGCCACUCUUACACUGAAGAGACAUACAUAUCAAAUUACUAAGUGACAAACAUAAUGUAACAAUAUGAUGACUUGACAAAUUAAAGUGUGAGAACUUAACCAGUUCAAAAGCCUCUUUAUCUUUUAAACACUCUGCAUUAUCAAAACUCGAUUUCUGAUCAUCAAGUUCACAAUUUCUCCUCAAUGACUGUAAUGAGGAAAGCUAGUGAUUAAAUUAGAUAUGAUUAAUCAAAAUCAUUGAAGGAUAAGUAGUACUAACAAUUAAAACGAACCUUAUACAGUUCAUCUGAAAUAAUUCCCAUUCCAUGAGCAAAUGUAUAGCGGAAAUUUGUUUCAUUUGGAAUUGUCACCGGAUUUCCUAGUAAGUAACCCUGAAUUGCACACCAGAAUAUCAACCAAGAAAGAUGGUGGUUGGAUUCUUGCUCAAUCAGUACAUAUAAUCAGGCUCAUAUUAUUAACUACGUCUCUACCAUUGUAAUUACAUGUUAUCCCUCCGGGAUUUUCGUUAUUCUAUUUCGCCUAUUGACAUCUAGUAUUAUAAAUGAGUUAUAUGGAAUUGAUGACUGUAAUUGUAAUUGUAAGUAGUCAUUCGAAUAGUUAGUGUAGUAUCCAUGAGAUCACUGUUUUGCAAUAAAAAGGAGAGAAAAUACUAGAAGAAAAAAAGCCUUAUUUUCAAGACAACUAAUAAGUAGUUGCGUAUAACUUACAUUCCACCGAGCAUUAGUCAUAAUAUCAAGGCAAUUUAUAAAUAUGUAAUCGCUAAAAUUUAACUCUAAACAUGAAUGAUGCUUAAAAAGGAUAAAUAGGAAAGGUGUUAUAAACAAUGUCUACCUAGAUACGCUUAUGAUUAUAUAUAUACUUUCUUUAACAAAAACUUGGUCCUUAAAAUGGAAUACCUAUCAUCACAUAGUAUAAAAUACAAACCUUUAGAUUAAUGGACUGAUCAGGAUCUGAUAUAGCUUCAUUUGCUGCAUUAGAGUCAACAUAAUAAUUAGAUGGCUGAAAAUCCUUAAUUAAACUAUAAAACUUCAUUUUCUUAAAAACUUUAUAAAGCACUCUUACCAUUUGAAAUCAUUUGUGUAAUAACCGAAACAAAGACUCCGGCAUAAGAAUCUCCACCAACAUAAAAUGGAUUCAUAAGAAACUGAGGAUGACUAAUGAACCACUACAAAACACUUCAAUUAUAACCAGUCCCUGAGAAUAUCUAGUCAUGAGUAAAUAAAAUAUUUACCUUUUUUAAAAACUGUAGAGCUUGAGCACAUGCUUCGGGGUCAGAAGAUUGAGAAGCACUUGAUGUCUUGGCAUAAGAAAAGCCCGUACCAACAGGCAAGUCAAGAAAUAUUAUACUAGCUGCCUGUAAGUCACAUAAUGAUAGAAAAAGAAAUACAGACACAUUAUAAUUUUGAAACAUAUUACAAAAUAAAUUUAUAUGACUUCAAUUUACUUGAUCACGUUUAUUCAAUGAAAUAAAGUAAAGUGUUUUAACAUAUCGAAAUGUCAAACCUAAGCAUAUUUACUAGUUACAGUGAUAAUGAUGUCUUUACUAAAAAUUUUGAACUCAUUCUAUCUUGUUGAAUCUCAAAUAUAGCUUCAUAGAAUAAAUCUUAUCAUUUUUUUAGUUCGCUUGAUAUAAGGACUAUUUAGUAUUAUGAAAAGAGUUAAUCGUAUGGCUUUAAUCCGUCAUAAUCUCUUUAUGUUUAAUUGAUACCAUUGUAACGAUCUCAAAUUAGAACGGCCUGGGUUAGUAAGCCAUAACACAACAUAUAACAAGGUGUCAUUUAAAUAUCGUUCCAUAUACAUCCAUUAUUGAUCAUAUCACACAAUAUCGCUCAUAAGCAUACUCGUAAUAGGGGAUAAAAUUUCUCAAAUUUGCAUCCAUACUCGUCAAUCAUCACAUCUACUAUAUUAGCGUUAAAAAAAUUAUGGAUCAAUGAAUUUCAUUUAAAAUGAAACGAUAAUGCAGCAAGUAUAUCAAGGUCACAGUGAAAUACAAUAUUUGUAUCUCACUCACUAACAAUAUAUCUACAAUAAAAGAAGUUAAUAAUAAGUAGAAAGAUUACCUUUGUCCAUGUGUGGGGAUUUAAUAUUAGUGUGGGCAAAGUCCCAUUGUAUUCCACUUGCUCAAAAUAUACGGGACCUAUAUAUACACAAGAUUGGGAGGGUUAUAAAUUUAUUACUAGUAACACAUAAAAUUCAGAAUUGAGACGAAGAAAUCACCUUAAAAAAAAAAAUUAAAGUCACAAAAAUAGUUAAAUUUUACAAUCUAGAUGAUCAAAACAUAAUUUCUAUUUGAUGACUCGUAAGAUGAGUUUUGCCGGUAAGGUUUUAGAACGAGUAGGAAGAUUUAUGAUAACUUAAUAUCUUGUCACAUGUAAGCUGAGAUUUACAUGUAAAUUUUUUGACUCGUGAUGUCUUGUUAUAUGUACUUAUUAUAAUGAUUUACAUGUUUAAAAUUUAAAAAUUAUAUUAAUCAUAAAAAAUAAUAAAUCUUAUUAUUAAAUCUCAUUUUCUUAUUUUUCUUAAAUAUGUGUUUAUAUAAAUCAGAAAUGUCUAACAUGUGCCCUCAAGGCACAGGAUAUGUCAUAAUUACCAUCAUUAAAUGUUCUUUUGACUGGCAUAAGUAUCAGUGUACGUAUAUAUAACUAUUCAAAAUCUUACUAAAUACUAAUUAUAUAUUUAUUUAUAACUUAUCUUUCAAAUUUUAUAUUUAUGACAAAAUAUUAUUUUAUUUCAAAAAAUGUGGGGAUCAUAAGAUAACUUUUUUAUUAAAUUUUAAUCGAGUAUAAAACAAAUUUUAAUUAAUCUCAACCCACAAAUAAUAACAAGCCCCCUGCAUAUACAUUAAUUUUCUAAUUAAAAUCAGCCUCCUAACUAAAUCAGCCAAUUUUAUAUUUAAUAACAAAUGUAUGACUUUUUUUAUUUUAAUAUUAUUAAAUAAUAAAAAUAAUAAAAAUAUAAUACAAUACAAAAGUAAAUGUGAAACAACCCGGGUCAAAUCCCGAGUCUUUUCCGAAAAUCGAGUCAAGUCCCGAAAUCCGAAUCCGAAAAUAAGCCCAAAUAUACUGGCCCAAUUGCAACAACUUGGGUAAUCCACAAGCCCACCACAGGCCCCCAAAAGAUCAUGAUUUGUUGGUGCAAUUAGUAGUAGUACUUAUGCUUAUAAACUGAACUUAAGUCUCCACACUUCUCGAUGUGGGACUGGGGUGUUACAAACUCCCCCACUUAAAUUCCUGACGUCCUCGUCAGGCCGAAACGGAUAGCCCAUAGGCCCAGAUCGAACCUCUCUAGCCAUUGUGGGAUAAUACCGGCUGGCUUCGUGUCCCCGCCUCCGGAUCUCUGUCCAUUGCGGGAUAAUACCACCAGCCUUCGUGUCCCCACCUCCGGCAACUUGACGAAUCAAGCUUUCGAGAGCCUGCUCUGAAUACCAUAUGAAACAACCCGGGUCAAAUCCCGAGUCUUUUCCGAAAAUCGAGUCAAGUCCCGAAAUCCGAAUCCGAAAAUAAGCCCAAAUAUACUGGCCCAAUUGCAACAACUUGGGUAAUCCACAAGCCCACCACAGGCCCCCAAAAGAUCAUGAUUUGUUGGUGCAAUUAGUAGUAUUACUUAUGCUUAUAAACUGAACUUAAGUCUCCACACUUCUCGAUGUGGGACUGGGGUGUUACAAAAUGAAAUAUCAAGUUUUCUUGAUAGAUGUGAACAUUUGAAUUUUGUACUCAGGAAUUAAUACAUUAUCAAUGGUACUAAUGCACUGUGCAUGAAAACAAGAUAUAAUAAAUAUCUUAAACCUGUGACAAACCCCAUAUAAAUUGAUACUCCCUCCGUCCCCCUCAAUUGUUUACAUUGGAGGGGGACACGGAGACCAAGAUAAUGUAUGAAAAAUGAGUAAAGUUAGAUGAAAAGUUGGUAAAAUGGUGGGACCCGUCAAUAUUUAAUAAUAGAUUUGAGAUAGUGGAGGAAAGUAGUGGGUGUAAUAGUAGUUUUUAUUGUUAAAUAUGAGAUAGUGGGGGAAGAUAGUGGGUGUAAUGAUGAAAAAAAACUUACUAUUUAUGAUAACGUAAAAAAAUGAGAGAGAUAUCUCAAAAUAGUAACUGUAAAAAAAUGAGAGGGACAGAGAGGGAGUAUAAAUUAAAUGGAAGUACAAUAAGCACCUAUCACUGUCAGCACAGUGAAACGGAGUAAUUAUAAUAGAUUAAUAGGUGAGACGUAGCAAUCAUAAUUGAUGACCAAACAAGACAGAGCUAGCAAUUAAUUUUCGAUAGGCAGAAUUUGAAAUAAUUGAUUCUUAAAAUCGAAGUAUGCAAAACAUCAUAGGCAAAAAAAUGUAUAUAUAAUGAAUACUUAUCAUUCUGCAAAAUACCAAUCACAUUUGAAAUUAUUAUAGAAAUAUUAUAAAAAUAUGAGAACAAAUAUAUUGUAAUAUUAAUUUUAGGGAGCGGUUGGAUUGUAAAUGAUAAUAAGAAUUAGAAAUGAGAAUGAACGGUACGAGAAUGGAGGGCGCUGCAUGAGUUGUGCCUGUGAUUAAGGGAAUAAUCAACCACUAAACGUGAAAAUGAAAUGAUCAAUAUAACCACUAAAUGUGAAUGAGAUUUCCGUUUCGUACAAUAAAUUUAUUGGGAUUAUGAUUCCCAAUACUCAACUCCAACCAUGCUCACAUGUUGUCUAUAAAUUUAGCCAACCUCCUAUGGAUGACUAAAUUUGUCGAACCUCUACAAGUCUGUAAGAAAAUCUGUAGGAAGAUUGUACAUCAUUUAUUACCAUAUUGAACUGAUAUAUUCUAUUUUAACAAUUUAAAAUAUUAAUAACAUACUAUUUUUAAAUUAUAACCAACCAAUAUAGCCAGUACCAUUGAAGCAAAAUGUCUUGCAGGUUCAGCAAAUUUUACAUAAUGUCUUACAGGUCCAAUUUAGCCAACGAUUAUAGCCAACGCCGUUGGAGAUGCUCUUAGGAUGCUGGUUGUAAAUAUUUGGCUUAUCCGCGCGAAAACAUGGUUGGUGCAACGUUGCUAAGAAAUAUAUUUCCUCAUGGAUGGACUAUUACUCGCUACUAUGUACAUUAGAAGUACAAAAUAAGUUUCCUCACAGAUGGAAUAAUACUUUCUCCUUUCCUCUCAAUUGUUUACAUCGGAUGAACAGGGUUAGGCAUGCAUUUUAAAACUCUAAUAAAAUAUAAUUUAAUAAAUUAUUUUAAAUAUUUUUUCUAAAUAAAAGUUUAGUAUAUAGAUUUUUAUUAAAAAAAUAAAAAUUUUAAAAAAAUUUGAACUUAUACAUUAUAUAUAUUUUAAAAUACGUGUCAAACCGUUAAAAAAAAUUGCUAAGAAAUCGUAAGAAAAGAGAAUGUACUAUUUUAGAUUGAAUUCAUGAUCACUACAAUUGGUAUUUAAAGUUGGUCAUGCCAAAAAAUUAACACAUACUCCCUCUGUCCCCCUCAUUUUUUUACGUUACUUUUUGGCACGCUUUUCCACUCUCAUUUAACUUAUAGUUCCAUAAUAUAUUUUUUUAAUUUUUUUGUUCUGAAUAAAAAUUUGAUACUUAAACUUUUAUUCAAAAAAAGAAAAUUUUGAAAAAAAAUUAUGAAACUAUACUUUAUAAGAGUCUCAAAAUGCGUGCAACCUAGAGGGACGGAGGGAGUAUGACCGAAAGAUUGACUUAAAAGGAUAAUCCUUGAAUCUUGAUAACUAAGCUACGGUUAUAAUGGUGUGUACCGAAUUCAUAAGCGAAGGCAGUGAUCGUAGAACACCCGGGACCUCCUGUCAUCCAGAGUAUCAGAGGAUCAUCUCUCGGAUUUGUCUGAGACUCGACAAAAUAAUAAAACAACUGCACAUCAUCUGAUUCAUCCACGCCAACGUACCUAAUAACAUAUAUGAAUCUCAUUAAUUUCACAACUUAUCAUUACUGAUCAUAAUAACAAAAAUAUUAAUUCUAGAUUUAUCAAAACAUAUUACAAGUAGUCAAAUGAGUUGAGAUGGACUGACCCAGUUGUGAACCGAAAAGGGAGCGGUCCUUGAAAACCGGGGAGAUACUUGAUGAGUGGUGAAUGGAAGUCUGCACUUGCUUGCUGCACAAGGUUUUGUAGUAUUGCAGUAACUACGACAAGAAGCUGUAUGUUGCAGACACUGAGCACUUUUAAAUAUGGCUUUUUCUCCAUUUUAUGAGUUUGAUGCUGGUGCCUUUUCAGUUCUGCGUUCAUCACACAGAGCCAGAGCCCAGAGACAUAUAACUGCCGUGAUAAUUAUAUGGGUUUUUCUAGUGUGUGCUAUGAGCACACACUAAACGCGAAAUUAUAUAAGUUUAAAAUAUUUUGAUUGGUUUUUUAUCUUAAUAACGAUAGACCUCCUCCAACAACCACAACAAUCAAAAUCUUCAAAACAUACGGCACUUAGCAUGUCACACAAUACACAAACCCUAAUUAUAUUAUAAUAUGAAUAUAUAAAGUCAAAAGGCAUGUGCCUAUUAUUAGAAACUAGGACUUUUGCCCGGCUACCGCCGGUAUAUUUCUACUCAGGAGUAUCGUGAAAAAGUCGAAAGGAAAUUUUUCAAACAAAAAGCCCACACAAAAGUCUAUGCUAAAGUGCUACCAUAAGUCCCUAAGAAUUUUUAUUUAAUACUGCAUAGGUUAUAGGUAUAUACGAAACACAGUGAGCAUUCUUAUUUAACUAAUUGGGCCGAAGCAUAACAAUUGGGCUAACGCGGGCAUAUUCUUUGGCAGGGCUAAUAUGAAAGAGCUUGGGGGAAAUUGCUUAAACAAAAGGUUUACAUGGAUGCUUUUAAAUACAGCACAUAAUAAUUUCUUUAAUAAUACGAUGUAGGGACAUAAGCAAUAAAGAAAUUAUACUCCCUCCGUCCCUCUGAUUUCUAUACACUUUUUUUUUCGGGAUGUCCCAUUUAAUUUUAUACAUUUCAAAACUUUCCCAAAAUAGUAUACUUCUAUAAUAUAAAAAUCCCACCCACCCACUACUUCCAUCUACUUUUUCAAAUCUAUCAAUUAAAUAUUCAUGGGUUCCGCCACUUUACCUACUUUUCUUUCUCUUUCUCAUUACUUUACACUACUUUAUACAUUUUUCUUAGGCUCCGUUAGGGCUGAGCAUUCGGUCGGUUCAGUCCAGAACCGGACCGGACCGAAGACCGAACUUUCGAAAUUUUCUGGACCGGACCGGACCGAAGUUUGCAUAUGGACCGAACCGGAACCGAACCGAAAUAAUUCGGUCGGUCCAAUCCGUUCCGCCAGAACCGAAAUUUUUAAAAAAUUUAAAUUAUUCUGUAUUAUAAAGAAAAUCAACCAGCAUGAUUAAUGAGAAAAAACCACCACAGAUAAUUCAAGGAGCUACAUUCAAAGCAGUAGCAUAACUCCAAAAUAGCCAUUAAGUUUACAAAUUUUAAAAACCAAAUACAUUAGGCUGCUAGUUGAUCAAAAACAAAAUAAAUAGCCAGAGAUGUUUUUGCAUUCGCCGUCAACAAAUAUACUCUUUUGAUCACCGGAUGUAUCAUCCAAAUCAAGAAUCAAAUUUUUUGAAGCAGCCUUAGCUUCCUCCUUUUUGCUUGUCCUUCCUGCCAAGUGCCAACUAUAAGACAUAAAUUCAUAAGCAAAUAGCCGGAUUACAGAACAGGCAAAUAGCUCGAAUAGAAUCCGUGGCUCGUAUCUUUGAUUCUCGAAUCGAAUCGAUUGUGAUGAAGUUAGGCGGUUAGGGUUAGCUGCGUGUGAAGUGUGAACUGAUGCGUGUGAUUUGUGAACGGCGCGGCGCUCGGAUGGGGAGGCUGGGAUGAUAGUCGAUGGAUUAGGUAUUUAGGUAUAGUGACUAUAGUCAGAUUAUUAGUAUAAUAUUUUAUAUAAUAUAUAAAAUAAAAAUAUUAAUUAUAUAUAUAUAUAUAUAUAAAAGUUCGGUCCAUUCGGUCCAGAAUCGAAAUUUCUCAACACGGACCGGAUCGGACCGUAUUUUAUUUUGGUCCGGACCGAAGUACCCGAACGGACCGAAAUUUCAGAAAAUCAGGACGAACCGGACCGAAAUUAUUCGGUUCGGUCCGGUUUUUCGAUUUCGGUUCGGUUUUCCUCAGCCCUAGGCUCCGUGUCCAAUUCAAACGUAUACAUUCCAGAGGGACGGAGGGAGUACAAAUUUUACCGAUACAUGAAAACUUGGCUGCUCUUAAGAGGAAACAUGUUACUCUUUACGUUUUAUAUUAUUUGACGUUUUGACUUUUGUCAUACAAAAAAUCGGACGUUGAUUGGAUCGUAAAAAUUAUUAUUUUUUAUUGAAUUUUUUGUGAAUUAAAAUAUUAAUUAUAUAUUUUUAUUCGGAUAAAAAAAUUUAACAAAUAAUAUUUUUAAAUACCGGACCAAAUCACUUAAAACUACACGCCCAAAGUGUUAAAUAUUAAAAAAGAUAGGGAAUAACCCAUUAAAAUAUAUUUGUAACAAAACUAUAUAGUAAAGAAAAUUGUAUGUAUUAUUAUAUUUAAACUGUCAAAAUCUAAUCAAUCUAUUAUUAGGUAGAAAUAUUUUUAUAGUAAAAUAUCCACCUAUGAGUUUUGUUGCAUGAGAAAAACCAUAUUUCUUAAUUAAAAUGAAUUCGAAGUCGGAGCACUUCUUCACACACCAUUUCAAGCAGGUAGUCGUUGGUCUCAACUCUCAACUCUCAAAGAAGAAUUAUAAAGGUUGAUUCUUAAUUAAAAUUUAUUUAUAUUUGAGAAUUACGUAAUAUUUUUUAGUAUAUAAAGAGUUCUUUCUUUUAGUAAUUGCUGCUAGGCGUCACCGAACGACGACGCCUCGCACUUUAAUCGAAUAUUUUAUGAUCAAAAUAAUUAUUAUAGCUAAGCGACUAUUCGCAUUUUAGUCAAAUAUUUUAUAUUUAUAAAUUUUAUAACAAUCAAUAAUGGAGGUUUGUUAUACAAAAGGUCUGCAUGGAAGCCUCUCCAUAGGUGUUAUGAUGAUAAAUUGCUUAGUGAUACGGUGCAGGGACAUAGGUCACGUAGCAAUGACAGUAAUUACACAAAUUUGGCCAAUACAUAAAAACUGGGCUAAUGUCAAGAGGGAACAUGUUAUUUUAUUUUUCAUUAUUUGACGUUUUGGCUCACAUCUUUAGCUGAGCUGACCAGAUAGUCAAUAUUAUUAAUUUUAAUUUAAUUUUUUUGUGAAUUAAAAUAUUAGUUAUAUGUUAUAUUCGAAAAUUACGUAAUAUUUUUCAGUAUAUAAAAAGUCUUUUUUUACUAAUUGCUUCUCGGCGCCGCCAAGCGGCGAUACCUCACACUUUAAUCGAAUUUUUUAUAUUUUAUAAUCUAAAUAAUUUACACAGCUAAACGACGACUCACAUUUUAGUCAAAUGUUUUUUAUUUUUUAGUCUUAAAAUAUUUAAAUACAUUUCGUAGGUAUCAAAUUUUUGAAUAAAAAUUAAUGAUUAAUAGAAAGACUCACUUUUAUAUGAAUAUUGAAUUAAAUUACCAGAAGAUAAUACAUGUGAAAUUAAAUAUAAUUAAUAUAAUAAUAAUUUAUCAUAAGUUAUCUUUUAAAAUGAUCGUCUACAUAUUCCUGACUCAAAUUUCAAAAAUCAAAAUAAGUCAUUGAAAAAAGCUACUUUUUUGAACUUCUUGGAUUCACAAAAGUUAACUUAUAAGUUCAUUUGACGAACGUUUAAUAAAACUAAUUCUAACUCAUAACUAAAAGUUUCUCAGUGUCGCUUCUCGUGACACCUGUCUAUUGCUUUUAUCGUUGAAUAUUCAAACUUGAAAAAAGAAGUCAUACAAUAAAAUGGCAAGAAAAUUAUAAAGUUUUAUCUUAGUCCUUUAUUUGAGAUUAUCAAAAUAUUUACAAAAUUCAUGUAUCGAAAUUGUAAUUUCCUCUUUGACUAAUUUUAAAAAAUUAUUGAUGCAAAUAAUUGUAAGAAGAAAAAGACAACUUAAAAAAUCUCAAGAUUUGUGCGCCUGUAUCUCAUAUUAAUAUUAUAUAUUUUAAAAUUAGAAACGAAUUUAUGUUAAAAAAAAUGAUUGAUGCACUAUUGUGUAGUUAUUUUUAAAAAUAUUAAAUCUUGGAUUAUUUAAAAUUUUGCUUGAGAUUAUAAUAAUAACAUUAAAUUGUAUUAGCUUUAAGAGAAAUGUGCAAUGUAGCAAAAGAUUUUGGAUAAAAUAAAAAUCAAAUUUUAUAAAAAAGUGUUAUUUAACUCAUAUAUGUUCGAAAAUUACGUAAUAUUUAAAAAGGUUGAUUCUUAAUUAAGAUUCAUUUAUAUUCGAAAAUUACGUAAUAUUUUUCGGUAUAUAAAAAGUUUUUUUUUACUAAUUUCUUCUCGGUGGCGGGGUAUUGGGCGCUGCUUUGCUAUGCGCUAUUCGCCGAGCGGCGACGUCUCGCACUUUAAUCAAAUAUUUUAUAAUAAAAAAAGUUACACAGCUAAGCGACGACUCACAUUUUAGUCAAAUAUUUUUUCUUAAUCUAAUCAUAACAAAUAAUUUAAAUACAUUCCGUAGCUAUCAAAUUUUUGAAUAACAAUUAAUGAUUAAUUAAAGACCACUUUUAUAUGGAUAUUAAAUCAAAUUACCGAAGAUAAUACGUGUGAAAAUCAAAUUUAUUUGUAGUGCAUGCAGCAUUAUUUAUGUACGUACAUUUAUAUUAAUCAUCCCCGGUUAAUGAGCUACAUAUUUGAUUGAUCAGAGGGAGUAAUUAGUGUGAAAAUUAAAUGUAUUUUAAUAUUAAUAUAUUUUUCGACCAUUAACUAUUAUUAUAUUAGUUAUUAUAAUCAAAAAUAAUAAGAUUUAUUGAUCGGAAGGAUUAAUCACACCGGAAAUAAGAUGUAUUUCAAUAUUAAAGCAUUAUUUGAUAUUAUUUUAUUAUUAUAUUACUUCCUCCGUCGUCCUUUUCAUUUUUUUACAAUUUUCCUCCUCCCUUUCAUUUUUUUACAAUUUUACUCACUGCUCCGCACGCACUUUAAGACACUUAUAAAACAUAGUUUCGUAACUUAUUUUUUAGAUUUUUUUUUAUAAAAAUUCAAAUAUUAAAUUUUUAUUCAACAAACAAAAGAUUAUGGGAAGUCACCCAUGAAACAGUAAUUAGAACAUCAUUCAUAAGUGUUCAUUUCUUGGUGCUUCCAUCAGCAACUGUUUUCAUAUGCCAAUCUUCUGUUCACAAUAAUAAUAGGAAAAGUAUGUGGUUCUCUUCCACAUUGUAGAUUAACGGUGUUGUGCAUUUGCUAUAGAAAAUGAAACAGAUAAAAUUUAAUCUUACAACUGCAAAGUACAUGAUUUUAUGCUUGGGUAUUUUCCACUUAUUCAUGGCUUACUACUUAGGGUUUGGGGGUUUUACACCUAGGUUUAGAUCUUAGGUCUUAGAGUUUAGGGUUAGGAUUACAAAUGCAAGAAGUAAUUCAAUAAAAAUAUUUAUUAAAACUUUUUGAUAAAGUAUUAUCACCAUACCAACCAAAUUUUACCGUUGAUUGGUGAGUAUAAAAUUAUCUAUCACAAAUUUCUUUUAAUUAUUUUUAAAGUAUAUUUCAAUAGGAUGGGCUUAUAAUCCGAGUUUAUGGGCUUACAAUUCGCGGCUUCUAGUUAUAAUCUGAUAAGUUGGAAAUCAUAAUUUUUUUCAAUUAUUGAUUGCCAUUUUUUAUAUUUGAAUUUAUAAAUAUGCAGAGGAUCUUUAAAAUAUUAUUUAUAUAUUAUUAUUAUUAUUAUUAUUAUUAUUAUUAUUAUUAUUAUUAUUAUUAUUAAUUUUCCACUUAUUAACAACUGAAAAUGAACAUGAUUCAAGACCAUUCAUGCUCCUAGAUUUUCCAUAUAUUAACAACUUUUAUUCAAUGGGAAUUUUAAGGGCUUAGGACUUAGUGCCUCACAUUUAGGGUUUGCGCUUAUGGUAUAAUAAAAAAAACUUCAAAUUAUUUGGUGGUAAUAUAUAACUAAUCAUAAUUUGUUGUAUAAAUCUCAGAUGAUAAAUGCAUCUAAUUAAACCAACAUCUGCAUUUAUAAAUCUAAUUACAAAGAUUUGAGAUAAUUUGAAAUAGAAAUGAAAGAAAUCUGACAUGAAAGGACAAACUUUACGCUGGAAAAGAGGGAGGAAGUUUGAAAGCAGAACAGGGGCGGCACGUGAGACACAGAUGAAUCACAACAUGCCUAUGGCAAAUAUAGAAGCAGCCAUAUUUGAAAUUUCAAAUUCAAAAGCAAAGGUGUGUGACUGGUUAGGUUAUGAGGUUUGAAUCUAGGAGGAAGUAAUGAUGAGUGGAUAAUGUGUUAUUCGUAGUCCAAUUCCUAGAUGACAUAGGCCUGUUUUGUUGAGAGAAGCAGAAACUGCUUCGGGCUUCUGCUUCUCUUGAUCCGUUUCUGUAAAAAAGUAGAAGCAUUUUUAAAAAGCUGAGAAUGCUAACUUCUCUCUCAUAGCUUCUGCUUCUUUUUCAAACACUUUAUUGACUUAUUUUGUAAUCCAUUUUUUUACUAAGUCACUUCUUUUAAGCUAAUCCAAACGGCCCCUAUAUAUGUCUUCCCGUGCAUGCAAUAUACUAAUAUCGUGAGAAUAUAAUAGUAAAAGACUGUAUUCUCUAUCAAGACAGUAUUAGCCUAAUGCAUGUCAACCUAUUACUUUUUUUUUCGUGACACAUACAUCUUUUAUCCUUUGAAAAUAUAGCAAGUUAUUAAGUUAUUAAGAGAAUGUUACUACUGUAUAAACAUAUAGUGUAUAAACAUAUAGUGUAUAAACAUAUACUGUAUCAUUUAUCUGUGCAUUAAAAACACAAUCAAAAACCAGAGAACUUACGUUAAAACUUUUAAGCAGCUUUAACACUGAAUAUAUCAUGAAAGGUCUUAAAAAUUUUGGCCAGGUUACGCUAUAUAACUGUAUCAAGUUAUCAACUUAGUUUUAUGAUAUGGAGUAAUAAUCAUAUAAACACUUUCUUUAUGUUCGAUUAGAAAUACUUUAAAUUACAGGAUUUCGUUAUUUUCAAUCACAUAAAUUUAAUUUUUUUUCUUUUAUGCAUGUAAUGUAUGCUCACUAUAAGGCACGAAUGUAAUAUAUUGUAUACCCAAUCCAAUAUGAAAAUAACCACUAUCCACCAACUUACUAAUUUUUAUUACUCAAAUAUUAAUCUCUAAUCAGUGAUAAAUUCAGUUGUUUAGUUCAAUAUAUGUUAAUAUAAGUACAUCUUUAUCUUAAAUGGCCUGAUGCACGAUUGAAAAUCAUUGACUUACGUUAUGCUUUACGUUCAAAUUGUAAAAUUGUUCAUGACUUUAAAUAUAAAAAACUUUCAAAACUUUAGAGUCGUAUAGUGCAAUUCUAUAUUUUCCCUAUUACAGCUUUUCUUUUAUACAUGUAUCCGAUGUAUAAUACUAACCAAUAGCUAGACAUAGGGCCUGGAGUUAAUGCGGAAGAAAAUAUGUGAUACACUCGAUCAGUUUGAACAACUACAAUCACUGCACAUUGCACCACAUCUUUAACUGACAUGUUGCGGAAAACUUUUAUCUUCUGCAAUGUGUAUAAAAUAAAGUUGAAAUUAAAGCAACUCAUUUGUAAAAAUAUAUUACAACAUAAUUGUUGAGUCUGACUUUCUUCCUGGUUAAAAAUUAUUUAAAAUCGAGUAAUCCGAAACCUAAAACUGCUUUUAAACUGAGGGCAAACCCAGCAGUGAUCCAAAGAUCCAAAUUUGGGGCAGAUUACCCCAAAUUCUCCUCCAGCAGUACUGAUCCAAAUUUGGAUCACCUACUUUAUUAUAAAACAAUGAUUUUGUUAUUUUAUAUCUUUCGUUUAUCGGACUUAAAAUUAUUUUGUGAUUAUUAAUAUUUAACUAAUGAUAGUUUAAAAUUAAUAAAAUUAAUGUUUUAGUAAAAUUUAGAAUAAUAGGAAAGCAAAUUUGAUUGAAAUUAAAAAGAGAGUAGAUUAUAUGCAUAAAAUAAAAGGUACAUAAAAUACAUAAAAUAAAAUUACAAUAUGGAUAAUGACUUGGAAAACAAUACGAUAAAUAUAAAUUUUGAUUUAGUCGAACGGAUUAUUUCUGUUUCCUCCGAGAUAAUCAAUAUAUUGUCUGUAGCUAUUCAUGUCAUUUUGAGAUCCUUGAGCUUCAUAUUCAUUUCAUUGAUUUUGAGAUUCUUUAAUCAGUGUUAAAAAAAUAAUUAAAUUAUUUAAUUAAAUAUAAUAUAAGUAGUUAAUAAUGAUUAAAAAUUAAAUUUAAGAUUAUAUAGUUUAAUUUUAAUAUAAAAUUUAUAUAAUAUAAUAUACAAAAAGUAAUUUGGAUCAGAAUUUGGAUCACGCUGCUGGAGUUAGUCACAAAUUUGGAUCAGAAUUUGGAUCAGUUGGUGAUCCAAAUUUGGAUUUUUGGAUCACAACUGCUGGAGAUGGCCUGAUAUACAUGAAAUAUCUGGUAUAACUAAACAACACGGCAGAACCGAGAAAGACUCCAAGCUUGCUUUCUUUUCAUUUCAAAAACAGGUAGACUUUGUAAUAUUAAGGGGCCGUUUGGGUUAGCUUAAAAGAAGUGAAUUCUUGCUUAUAGUAAAUAAGUGGAGUAGAAGUGAGAAGUAAAUAAGUUAAUAAAGUGUUUGGAAAAGAAGCAGAAGUUGUGAGAGAGAAGCUAGCAUUCUCAAUUUCUUAAAAGUGCCAGAAGUAGCUUCUGCUUCUUAUGCUGAAUCGUUACCUGACCCGCUGAAAAAUCCAUUCGUUAUUAUCUUGAGAAUAAUGGCGGAGAGCUUGAGGCUAGAGCAAAAAAAGCUUUUGGAGGGAAAACAGAACAAAAGCAGAGUAGUGACAUUUGAAAAUAGAGAGGAAAAGUCAAAUAAUUACACAGAUUUGAUAGCCAUAAUUGAAAGGGUGUCUAAAAUUCAAAAAGCAGUGUCAGACAGUAAUGAUCAAUGGCAGUGCCCGUAAAUAAGAGACCCGAGAGGGGCAGUCGACGUAAUUAGGACGCGUUUUUGCCAUCAGGAUUUAUAUUCUGUAGAUAGUCAUCUUGUCCCCAAUGUAAUUAAUGGAGUACUGUUUCAUGCAAUAUACUGCAACACUUUUAAAAGCAACAUGGCCUUUUUUAGCAUUUCCUGAUUUCCUCCCUGAAAAAGGAACGAAGACUUCUGAAAAAUGAAGAUUAAAAUUUUUAAUUUUAGAAUAAUUUGUUUUCUGAUCUUCUUUGAAAUUUGACAACCCCAUUCUUCACAUUCCUUUUUAACGACUUUUAAUUGAAAUUUUAGUUUAAUCCCAAUCAAAUGUGUGUACCUUGUGUAUAAAUUAUGAAAUUUAGCUUGUUAGAGUAUUAGUAUAAGCAAAAAGAGAAAUUUAUAGUCGAUUUUAGAAAAACUAUCCGAAAUCAUAUACAUUUUGUAUACGAUUUUGAUGACAUUUGCGUCAUAUGUAAUUUAUAUGUGAAAUUUAGUGAUAUUUUUAGUGAUAUUUAGUGAUAUUUUUACAAUCAUAGAAUUCAAUUAUUUUUAUUCAAAAAAUUUUAGUUUUAUACUGGAAUAAUUUGACUUAACUGGCAUCCAGUCCUACUCAUUAAAUUAGCAAUACAUAUCGACCAAACUAAAUUAUUGCUUUUCUGGCCUUGAAGAAGUACCGGCCCUACUCCACCUGCAUCCGAAGAUUGCCGGGCUCGUCGCUUCACCGGCACGAUGCACGAUGAACAUGCGUCGGCAGGGAUCAAAGUUAGAGGAUGGUGUUGUGAAAAAUAAUUUUACUUAUUUUCGUUAGUAACGAAUAUGAACAAUCUAUUAUAUAUUUAUUUCUAAAAGAUAAAUGAAUAUAAAAUUUUAUCAAAAAUAAGUCCCAAUUUUCGAAAUAAUAUUUUAACCAAAUACCAUCUAUAUUUAUUAGUAAUUCUAAACGCUCAUUAAAUACCAUAUUCUUAAGAAUAACUUAAAAUUAAUAGGAUAGAAUUUUAAUUUUUUUUUUUGAAUCUGUGUUAAAAUAUUUCUAUGAGGUUUUUCUCCGUUUUAUGAAUUUGAUGCUGGUGCUUUUGCAGUUCUGCGUUCAUCACAAAGGCAUAUAAUUGCUAUUAUGAUAAUUACUAUGAAUUAUAUAGACAAAUUACUAUAAAUACACAAAGUCAAUCCCAUGACUAUAUUACUAUUAUUCUGCAAAACCAAAAUACAUGUGCCAAUUAUUAAAAACAAAGUUCAUCCAACGUGCACAUUAAAAUAACCUUUGUAUAAGGCCACACGAAAAGGGUUGGAUUUCCACAAUCUAUCGCUUACUAUAUCAAUGUUUAAAAAUAUGUUUCUAGAUGCGACCUUAUAUCAUUUAUGAUUUACCCAGAUGAUCAACUGGUUAUAGAUUAAUAGUUUAACAAGCGAUAAAUUGAAUACAAUACAUAAUACUAAAGAGUAGUAAGUAAUAAGAAUACACAAUCAUCUUGCCGUUAAUUUUUAUUAUUCUGCGUCUUCAUCUCUUAUCAACAUGAUAAGAAAAUAAAAUAUAAUAUUGACCAAAAAAUAAAUAAAUUACAUGAUAUAAUAAUAUACCAUACUUUCUCCAAACUGCUGACAAAUGCCUUGUUCACCGUAUGUUUCUUGAACUAGCUAGCUCUCAAGUUAUACUCCCCUCUAGUCUAGUCCUAUAUCCACCGUCAAUCUUAUCCGGCAACUAACUCUUACAACUUGAACAACUAACUCUCUUACAAAAAAAACAAAAGAAAUUUUGAACAACUUACUCUUACAAUUUGAACAAUAUAAAUAAGAGUGAAUGAAAAUAGCUAGACUACAAUAUAUAUAUUUGAGUUUGAGCGAAUCCAAAUAUAAAAAAAAUGUAAACAUUGAGUUUAUUGAGUUCUUGUAACUUGAAAUAGUUAUUAAAAGCUGAACAAUAACAUGUAUUUAUUUAUAGUCACACAACUAAUGUUCAAAUAUUUGGUUUGUUCCCCAGAUCUAAAGAGUGCCUUGGUUUAGCUAAUAUUUCAUUUACGCAUUUGGUUGCUAGUUUGUCACGUUUGGUUUUGGUUUUUUUGUUGUCUCACCGUUUGUGUGAGUUUUAUUUUUUUCACACCGUUUGUGUGAGUAUGAUGCUUGAUUUAAUAAUAAAAAUUGAGGGAUUGCAUUCUCAGUCGAUAGCUCAAACUGGUUAUAACAGAAGCGGAAGUACAAAUCACGUGAUUUUAUCUCUGAGAAGAAUGAAUUAAUUAGUGAUUGUUUUUUUGUUUGGUUUAUUUGACGCGAGUGUUUAUGUAGAUGCCUAGGCGUCUGGCACGGAGGAGGGGGCGUAUGUGCAAACACUUCUGGCUUUUGUUUGUGUAGUCCACAAGUACAAUUAAGCAGCUUGUCAACUGUCUCGGUAGAUAUCAAAUCGCCACAUCACUAUCUCCGUCUUGGUUUCUUAAACAUCUAGGCCAUGCAGUAUACAUACAGUCAUACACACGUACAGUCCAGACUUUCGUGUGAUCAACAGAUUGGAGCGAAAGUUCACGUCAGUGAGAAACGUAUAGUACAAAGUGGAGACAAAUUCAUUGGGGGAGAGUUUUGGUAAAAGGAUUUGAAGAUGAAAUGGAAGCUAUAACCUUAAAACACCAGUCUCCUUCAUGCAUCCACCAGUCUUACAAUUUACAGACAACACUUGUGUUUGUUCACAAGUACCGAAUAUAUGUGUACUCCUAUAAAAAUCAUCUGUCUAUCCUUAAUCUACAAGAAAACAUUCAAUUACCUCUCUGUGGGAAAGACCGUGAUGACUGAUGGUAAUGAUAAGAAGUUUAAAACACAGAGGAAAAAUAGUGAAUUUGAUAUUAGAAAGCAUGUUGAGAAAGUAAAGGAGGAGAAGAGGGAAUAUCAGAGCAUACACAAGAGGGGGAAGAGUAACAAAGUAUCAUUCACAUUAGCGAUGAAGUUAAUUUAUCAGACCUUCUCUUUACCAAGAGAAGAAAUUAUCUAGUUAAAUACAAGAAUAAUCAGCGACCUUUUAUCCUAAUUUUGAAUACAAAAAAUUAGAAAUGAAGAGACAUCAAGAAUAGAAGGAGCAGUGGUUCAUGUAGCGUUAAGUUAUAAGAAUAAAACGUUUAUUUUUUGAAUAUGAUAUUAGACACAUUAUUGCUUAAGAGCAAGUCCAAUAGUGUCCUAAUUCAAGUCUUAAGUAAUAUAAAAAAUCAUGUACUAGUAAUUUAGGAUUUAUUUUACUGACUUCAACUCCAACAACGUGCCUUAUUCUCAUUACAUGUUUAAUAUUUUAUUAUUAAAGUUUCUCUUCCAUCAUUAAAGCAUAAUAUCAGUGUUCUAAAAGUCGGCGAUUAACUGAGAUUAAUCGCCGAUUAAUCGCUGUUCGGUCGGUCACCGUCUCGAUUAAGCGUUAAUCGGUGGAAAAAUCGUUUUUUCUGAAAAUUGGUCAAAAACGGAUUAAUCGGUCAAAAGACGGGAUUAAUCGGAAAAAGGCGGUCAAAAAUCGGCGAAUUUAAAAAUUUAAAAAUACAAAUUAAAAAAUUAUAAAUUUAAUUUUAUUAUCUUUCACUCUUUCAAUAUUAGCCUCUAAACUCUAAUUACAAAAAAUUGAAAUAUCUUCCUUCGCAGAUUCAAUCAAAUUCAACUUUAUAUAUGAGAUGACUGGACUUGUAUAUGUAUAUAAAGGCUUGUUUUGUGUUAUAAAAAAUCAUAAUCUUUUGAUUUCAUUAAACUAUAAAUUUAUAGUAUAAAUAAUUAUAUUAAUUAAUUAAUAUAUAUAAUUUAUAAAAUAUUAUUAAUUGAUUACGAUUAAUGAUCCGAUUAAUCACUCCGAUUAUCCGAUUAAUCGCUGGACGGUGCCGUCACCGACUAAAUCCGAUUCCCGCUUUUUACAACACUGCAUAAUAUAAAGUAUAGAUGGAAAGAGAGUGAUUGUGACGACAAAAAAAAAAAGAUGGAAAGAGAGUGAUCAAAAAAUUUAUUAUAAAAUAUAGGAUUUAUUAUAGAAUAUAGGAUAUGACAAGAAGGGAGUGUCUCGAAAAGUCAAAAAUUGCCUAAGGAGGGAGGUGUGUCAAAAAUAGAGAUAGAAGAGAUUGUCUUGUCGUCGUACGACUAAGGGGUCAUUUGACAAAUCUGAACAAUUAAUAUAUGAAUGAAUAAUAUAUCUGAUUAAUCUGAAUGAAUAAUAUCAUUUGAUUUGUUUUUGAAAAUAUCUGAUUGACAACUUUUGCAAUAUAUAUAUAUAUAUAUAUAUAUAUAUAGUUUAGUUAAAAAAAACUUUAAGCUCAUUUAAUAACCAUAAAAAUAUUAUACGUAUGUAAUAUGAGAUACAUAUGAUCAUGUUAAAUAUAUUCCAUAAUAAUAGUCGUUUUGAUUUUUAGCACAUAAUUUAAGGUGAAAAUUAUAUUUUUAUAUUAUUAUUUUUUAGAUAUUUCUUUUUUUGAAAUAUAAAUACUAAAAUUUAUCAUAACAAAACUAAAAAUAAUAUAUAAAGAAGAUUAUUUUUUCACAGCUCAAAUUAAAUAUACAAAAUUAAAAUAUUAUUUUGGAACAAAUGUAAUAUGAAUUUUUAUAAUAUGACAUCUCAAAGAGAUGUAUAAUUAUGACUGAUUUUCAAGGUAUCAAAUCAUUCUUCAUGUCAUGAUUGAUUUUAAGGUGUAUAUACAUGUACAUGACUCGCUCAGUUAGGAUUUCUCGGAUGGAUGGGUCAGCAUACUUGAGAUUCGCUCGGCUGUAUCAGUGGCACCUCCAAAUGAACUGAACGAAAUGUCUCGGUCAGAUGGGCUCUGUUCAGCUCUGUUAAGAAGCAGACAAAUAGCCCCUAACAUUGUUAGAUCAAUUUUUUCAAUCAAAUAUCUUAAAUUAUAACUUAUAUGAGGAGGACUCGCUCCUUAGAGCAUCUCCAACGCAGGUCACCUGUUAACUUUAAAAUCUACGUGUCAGCUCAUAUACUUAAUAUGUAAAAAAAAUACAACUCCAACGCAGAGACAUGUUAGCAAUAUUUUUAGAUGCCGAGAAAUCAGCACGCUACAUAUAUUGAUUGAGUGCCUGUCGUCUAUAUCAUAUCCAUGUCAUUUUCUUUUAAAAUUAAACUGGAAAAAAAUUUAGCUUGCUUCAACCCAGGUGUCUGUAUUAUAUUAUAUAUAUGUAUUAUAAUAUUGUAAUUCAAUUAUAUAUAUUUGUAUAACCUUUAAAUUUUAUAAUUUAAUUUUAUGUAUUGUUAAGUGUAAUGUAUUGUUAAGUCCGACUCCGCUCUGAAAUUGCCUCGUUUGGUACGCUGUAACUCAACGCGGUAACUUACAGUUCCACGGAACUCAUCUGAAUGACAGUGUUUGGUUGUAUGAUAUUAAAAGUGGGUAACGUAACUUACACUUCCAUGGAACUUCAACUUCCUGUAAAACGGUGUAACCUAGUUACACAGCUGAUGCGUGGUUUUUCUGGGUUACAUAGUUGUUUGCUUUUCCAUUUUUUUGAAACAACAGUUGUUUGCUUUUUAUUAUUAUUAUUAAAAUAUCAUAAUUUUACAUAUUUAAUAAUGGUCGAAUCCAAAAAAUUAAAUUAUAAAUAAAUAUUAUAUCAAAAUUGUUUAUUUAAUAAUAUAUUAUUUUUUAUUCAGGAUUUACUCAUAUCACACUCUUAAUAAUAUUUACUAUAUAUUAUUAUAUAUGUUUAUUUUAUAUAACAAUUUAUCCAUCUUAAANAAAUUAAAUUAUAAAUAAAUAUUAUAUCAAAAUUGUUUAUUUAAUAAUAUAUUAUUUUUUAUUCAGGAUUUACUCAUAUCACACUCUUAAUAAUAUUUACUAUAUAUUAUUAUAUAUGUUUAUUUUAUAUAACAAUUUAUCCAUCUUAAAAUUUUUUUAUUUAUUUUUCUUCUUAAAUUAUGAAACAUAAAUUUUGUUCUAUAUUUUAUUUAUUUUUAUUUAGAUAUUACUAAGAUUAUAUUAAUAUAUCAUCUCAUCUAAAUAAUUUUUUAUAUUUAUAAAUAUCGUAUUUCUUUUCUUUUUAUAUUAGGUUAAAAUUCUUAUUAUUUUAUGUUAAUAAUACAUAUCAUUUUUAUUUAUAUAUUUAUAAUAUAUUAUUUUGAUAUUAUCUAAAUUGUUAAAAUUAUAUGGUUAUAGAUGUGGUAUGUAGUACAACCAAACACUGUAAUUAUCAGUUACACAGCAACUACACUUUGUAACCUACUUCCAAGUAACCUUAAGUUCCUCUGUAACCAAGAAUCCUGCUAAACAAACAAGGCCUAACGAGAACCGCGCAGCAAGUGUUAUCCCAUUUCGGAAGAAAUAGGCUGCUCCCUCUGUUGCCACCCUCUGUUUUGGACUGCAAGUGUUAUGCCACCCUCUGUUGGACUGCUCCCUCUGUUUUCUUUCUUCCUUUUAUAAAAUUUUAAUUUAGCAAAAAAAAAAAGUGUUAUCCCAAAGGCGGGAAAAACCAAAAAGGGAAAAAUAAAGAAGAAAAUACUAUUCCCCCAAACAAUUUUGCUCCAGUUUUAUUGCGUAUAUCUGUGGAUCUCUCGCUCUCUACUUGCAGAAACCUAGGGUUUCAAGUUAACAAUGGCGGAGAACAACGACACCGCGACGAAAUCGAUCAUCGCCGACGUCGCCGACAAACUCGCGGCCAAGAAAGCUUGUCCUAACAAAGAUUUCCUCAUCAAACUGCUGCGAGUACGCUGUUUCCCCCCGAUUUUCAAUUAUUUCGUAACAUUACUGCUAAUUAGUUGUUUCUGCUUUUUAGAAGUUUUAUUCGGCGUUUUGUGUAAAUUUAAUUGUAAUUGCUUGUUUAUUGUAUAUUGUGGUGUAUAUUGGCUCUAAUUAGCAUCUUGUGAACUUAUAAUGCUUUUGAUAGACGUUGAACUUGGUGUACUUGCAGUGAUAAUACUUUAAUUUGAAAAUUCAGCUCUUAUAUUGUUGUUUUGGAGUUUAUGUGAUGGAUUUAGCCUAAUUUGCUGAGGUGUUUUUGUGAUUUUCUGCACCUGACUAUUUCAAUUAGGAUAAUCUCAUGAAUGUGUAAGUCGUGUUUUGAUUUUCGACUUUCAGUAUGGUGAUAAUGAGUUUCACUAUAUCUUUUGUAUCUCCCCCGCUUUGUUGUUAUUUGUUUUUUUGAUUAGAUGAAGUGGCUGCGUCACAUAUUUUUAAAAUCGUAUGAGAAGUGAUAUAGAGGAAUAAACUGUUUGUUUUAUUAUUUUAAACACGGUGAUUUUACUUGAAAAACUUGUAGUGACACAUGCUUUUUGUUAGAAGCACACAGUUUGCUUUCAGGGGUUAUGAUGCAGCUCUCAUGUGAUAGCGAAACAACCAUAUAUAAAGGAAAAAUGUGUAAACUGUAGUGGGUAAUGUUAUGUUAUGUGGAAAGUAUAAUGAUCAUUACCUCUUAUGUCAAAACUUAUACCCGGUAGAUUAACGAUUUAAUAGAGUUUUAGCUCUGUGAAUUUCUAUCUCUUUGAUGGUUCCCAAUUAUAUGGUUGCAUUUACCGCUAUCAAGAAGCAUGAAACUUAGCAGUGCGAGUUACCCUUGUCUAUAAUACGAAACCUAGCAGUGUGAGUUGCUUUUGUUAAGAAGUAUGAAAUAACUAGGAGUAUAAAUUCCCAUAAAGAGUAGUUGUGGUGGUUCAUUUUAAAAUUUAUAGCUCAGGAAACUGCAGUUUACAAUUCAUUAUACUUUCUCUUUCAUGUUAUUGAUCCUACUUCAUUUUUGCAGCAAGCUGCCAGUACACUCCCCGAGUUAAAGCAAUCACCGCAGCUGAGUGCCGUUGUAAAGCCCCUGACUGAUUCUCUUGUCAAGCAUAGUUUACUCGUGCAUAAAGACAAAGAUGUAAAACUACUUGUUGCCAUAUGCUUCUGUGAAAUUAUUCGGAUUUUGGCACCAAAUCCGGAUUUCAGCGAUGAAAUAUUGAGGGUAAUUAUUCUAAAUGUAUAUAAAAAAAUACUUAUCCUUCCCCCAGAAAUGAAUCCUUAACACACGCUUGCAAGAAAAGGAAGCUUAUAUCAAAAUCUUGUGUGCAGGACAUUUUUAAGCUUUUCAUAAGUAUGUUUGAGGAACUUGCUGAUACCUCAAGCCCAUAUUUCUCGAGGAGGGUGAAAUUAUUGGAAACUGUUGCCAAGCUGGAAUUCUGUGUCCUAAUGAUAGACACAGGUUCUGAAGAUUUAAUUCUUAAAAUGUUCACCGUCUUUUAUGAUGUUGUGAGGUUAGUUUUCUUCUUUGUUCCCUCUAUAUUAUAUCUAUAUUUGCUUGAUGUUACUGUUUUGCACUAUUUUUUUUGAAUAAGUGUCCUCAUACUAUCUGCAUAUAUCAUAAACUCAUAAUGCUUUUAUAGAAUAUUUGGUGCUAUAAGUAACCAUAUCUUUCAUUGUUUAAUAUGAUUCGUUUCUUGGUAUUGCUUGAGGGGAGUUCUAUACCCGUGUUGGGAUCCUAGAUUUUAAAUCUAUGAUGUAUUGGAUGGUAGAUGCUUUGCAUCUUGCACAGGUGUCCAAUGUAUGAUUUUAUGGAUUAUAUACCCAAGUAGUAGUUCAUCUACAAGUUCUAUAGGUUCUAUUGCUGAGGUGCUACAUUUCCGUCAUAAAUCUGAAGUGUAUUCUGUAUCAAAUGUCCCUUUACAGGGAACAGCAUCCACAGAGUGUGCUCAAUGCAAUGUCAUCCACAAUGGCUCUAAUUUUAAAAGAGAAAGUUUCCGAGCCACUUUUAGUAGUGACCCUGCAGAAUCUUCUGAAUGAAGCAAAGGUACAAAUAUUGACAAGUGCUGAUUUUUCUUUGUAUCACCAGACAUGGACAGUAUAUUUUGUUGCUAGUUGCAUUGUAUGACUCACGUCAGAAUGUUAAUACUAGUAUGCUAGUUCUGUUAAUGUGUAGCGUAGGCAGCAAUUUAUUUGUCUGCUCAGCACAUAUGUGUUAAAAAAAUAAUCAACAUUUACUCUAAGAUUAUUCACAAAAUUACUAUAUUUUUCGCUUGUGUUCAAUAUUAUCUCUCAUCUAUAUACUAAGAUUCUUUAUCACUAAUAAUAUUGAGAGUUAUUUCUGAAAUAUCUGAAUGUACCAAGCGCACUAGUAAAACAUGUAGAAAAGAUGUCCCAAACUAAUAGGCAAAAAUUGAAUAUUUAUUUAUUAUAGACAUUAUUUACUGGGUUUUAGGUCAUUUUCUAAGUCAUCAAGGUUACAUUAUGUGUACAGAGCUAUGUGCGGGAAUAGGUGCUUCUACCUCCCAUGUUGCAUCCUAAGCCUUAUAGCUGAUGUUCAGGCAGUUUACUAGGCAAAUGCACAUUAUAUUAAAAACUGUUGUUUUAGUUCUUACUGGUAAAAGUGCAAAGAUAAAAUAGUAAUUAACUAAAAUAUAGGAUCACACAAUAUAUUAGGAGGAAAACUGAAUGUCUGGAAGCAGAAAGUGACAAAUGACAUCUUGAUUGGGUUCUUGGAGCAUUUUCUGGCAUAUUUGUCAAGGACUCAAGGGGUAAAGGCAAGAAAAGGCUCUAGUGAACCACUUGCCUGCCUCACCUAGAUGUCCAUAAGGUAAAUUAGGCGUUGCCUGCCCCUUCUUAACUAAGGCAGUUCAUCACCUUUCCACCUAGGUGACUCAUUAAGUACUAGUUUUACGGAUCUUAGCACCCAUUUGGCGCAGGCAUGUAAAUUUAACUACAAGAGUCCAGUCUCCAGUUUCUGCUGGAUCGCUUUUAGUACACCAACUUACAAACAAUCACGUGGGGAAAACAUUGCAGGUAACUAGAAAUGAUAAUUAUAUAUUUUGCACAAUUUUAAAAACAAUAAAAAUUUAAAUAAACUAAUUACAAAUUUUGAAGUUUUCCAUGUAAACCAUGCAGCCUUUUAUUUUAAGACGUACAUUAAUUUGAUACCCAAGUUACUAUAAACUGAAUAUCUGAUCAGCAAAUCUUUUAGGAGAGGAGACUAAUAAGAAAUUAUAAUCAAAAUUCUGAUGUCCUAAUUGUUGCUGAUACAUCACUGCCUAUGUUAUGGUCCAAGUGUUAGGAUAGUAGUCUAGUUUCUGAUUGGUCCUCGUCAUAUUUUUGGGGUUACUUACAUAUACAUCCAGGCAGUGAGGUUCCAGAAUUUCUUGACUGCCUCAUAUCGCCACUGGCCUAGGCUGCUCAUCUAAAGCACUGAUUUUCUCGAUGUCUCCACAACUGUGCUUCAUUUUUCAAUUCUUCUUUCUAUCUCAGAACUUCGCAACUAACAUAUAUUUCGCCAUAUUCUUCAUUCUUCAGUGCUGUGUGUCAGGAACGGCCUGUCUUAGUUGCAGCACUUGCUAAUAGUAGUUGUCAGGAUUAGUACUUAGCACAAUAAUACACUUCAGUAAGGGUAGUUGUGUCAUUUCAGUACUAGAAGUUAGUUAUAGUUGAGGUUUGCCUGUAAAUACUUGAUAAGCUUUGUAUUUCCAAUUAUGCACGUUGAAUAUGAAUAUGAAUAUGGAACUUGUUCCACAAUUCUCUCUCUCUUCUCCCUAGGGUUUCUCUCUCUCUAGAAAUCUAUCUUGUUCCUUCAAGUUUCUCUUCUCAUCUAACUCUGAACUCUGCUUCUCAUCUCUAUUUCUGCCUAUUUCUUCUCUAAUUCCCUAUUAUCAAGCUGUUACCUUACUUAUAAGAAUUGACAGAGAAUUUCAAACGGCUAGCAUUCCUAAUGGGUCAAGUAUGCAAUCUUGCAAUUUUGGUAAGGAAAACGUGCUUAUCUUUGAUCUUGAUCCUGGUGGUCAGGUGCAAAAUAAGAACUCAAAAGGUGAUUAUAAUGAGUUCAAAGAUGUGAUCUGGAGUGAGGUGAAGCUUAGGCAUGUUAGGGGGUGAGCUUAGGCAUGUUAGGCAUGUGAAGGAUCUUGGUUUGAAAUUCUUGGCAAUAGAUCAACUAUUGAAGGAACCUUCUCAGUUGCAGAGGAAGGUGUUUAUUUUUGAGGUUUCCUAGACAAGGCCAAAAUAUUCUGAAAGUGAGUAAUGGAUUCGAUCAAAUUGUAAGUGAAACCAAUCAACAACACGUUGAUUCUGUGGGAACUAGGAUGAUUGCACCUAUGUUACUCGGACUCCGCUAGAAGUGUCCGACAUGGAUACGUGUCCAUGUGUUGGACUCAGUAAUAUUUUGAAAAAUUUACAUGUUUUUGGCCUAAAAUAAGUGUCCGAGUCCAAGUGUCGAGUGUCCGACAUGGGUACUUCGAGGCAAAAUGAAGAGUCCAAGUAACAUAGGAUUGCACUACCCUACAAGUAUGAGUACGUGGUACUGGAAGAAUGUAAACUUGAAAUGAAGAAGUCCAUGAGUCCUGAAAACCAACAAGCCUCGAAGGCAAGUGUUACAAUAUACAUAUUUCAUCCAGGAGGAGAUUUAAGUUGUCUCCAAGAUGUUCUACUUUGUGUUUCGACUGGUACUCCAAAGCUUCAACAAUUGUCACUGUAUUUGUCGAGGGAGAUGACCUAUGCACUUAAGGAAAAAGAAAGUACAGUGGCUGAAUCAUCAUCCAGCAUACAUGAAAACACAAAGUGGAGAAGUGCAAGAUUAACCAUGAGGACAUGGUUUAUAUUCAAGGAGGGAGAUAUGUCAGGAACGGCCUGUCUUAGUUGCAGUACUUGCUAAUAGUAGUUUUCAGGAUUAGUACUUAGCACAAUAAUACACUUUAGUAAGGGUAGUUGUGUCAUUUCAGUACUAGAAGUUAGUUAUAGUUGAGGUUUGCCUAUAAAUACUUGAUAAGCUUUGUAUUUCCAAUUAUGCAUGUUGAAUAUGAAUAUGAAUAUGGAACUUGUUCCACAAUUCUCUCUCUCUCUUCUCUCUAGGGUUUCUCUCUCUCUAGAAAUCUAUCUUGUUCUUCAAGUUUCUCUUCUCAUCUAACUCUGAUCUCUCUGAUCUCUCUGAACUCUGCUUCUCAUCUCUAUUUCUGCCUAUUUCUUCUCUAAUUCCCUAUUAUCAAGCUGUUACCUUACUUAUAAACUCAGAAAACACCAAAUAUAGCAACAAAUCUAGGUCAGAACUCAUCAGUUCCUGACACGUGGAUCUUGUUUUUAUUCGUACGAAAUACUACUUGUAUUCUGUCCAUUUUCCGAAUAGAUCAGUGUGAAAAUAGGUCAACAUAUUUUUUUGUAUUUUAUAUGUAUGAAGACACACACAUG